This 52284-nucleotide long non-coding RNA is filed under the name Citrus sinensis (sweet orange). RNAcentral describes it as "long non-coding RNA (CSIN_LNC002027)". The record is from RNAcentral. Lineage: Eukaryota; Viridiplantae; Streptophyta; Magnoliopsida; Sapindales; Rutaceae.
CCUGAUUGAAAAGAAGUUGAAACAACAUAUAUUUGGUUGGUGAUAAAUUCAAGAUCAAACAAUGCAAAAUAAGAGAUUGUAGGAGCCUAAAUGUUACCCAAUCUAGAAGAUAAAUUUUAUCCUCCUUUGUCCUGGAAAAAACGUUGCUUCUACCGCUGACAAUUUCCAAGGCAACAAUUCCGAAACUAUAGACAUCCGCUUUCUCUGUUAAAUGGCCCCGUGUUGCAUAUUCUGGUGCCAUAUAUCCACUACAAGGUCGUGAAUUUGAAUAUUAAAUUCAUAUAUAAUGUAUGAGAAGGAAAGUGGAAAACAUUGAUGAGAAAUUAGUAUGCAGCGACUCACAUUGUUCCGGCAACUCGGGUGCUUAUGUGGGUGUCAUCUUCUUCAUCCAGCUUGGCUAAACCAAAAUCGGAUAUUUUAGGGUUUAAGUCCUUAUCAAGAAGCACAUUGGUUGCUUUGAUGUCUCUAUGCACAAUCUUUAUCCUUGAUUCUCCAUGUAGAUAAGCUAAACCUCUCGCUAUGCCGAGGCAAAUCCUGCGCCUUGUUGGCCAAUCCAACUUCAACCGAUGCUCUUCAGGACCUUCAAAUCAUUCAAGAAAGACGAUACAUGACUAGAAUCUAAUACCACAUAUGUAUGUAUGUGUGAUUUAUGUGGAAACCGAUACUGUGUAGUUGAAAUAUAUACCAAACAUGGCUCGAGCAAGGCUGUUGUUUUCCAGGUACUCAUAAAUAAGCGACAAUUGAUUUCCUUCCAUGCAACAUCCAUAAAGCUUUACAAGAUUAGGGUGUUGCAAAGCAGAAAUCAUGCCAAUCUCAUUAAUGAAUUCUCGAUUUCCUUGCUUUGAUUUGGAAGAAAGUUGCUUGACUGCGAUCACUGUGCCAUCUGCCAAAAGGCCCUGCAUUUUUAAGAAAUGCGGUCAGAUUUGAAAAACAAAAAGGAAUUGUUUCGAGCAAAACACACCUUGUAAACAGGGCCAAAACCGCCUUCUCCAAUCUUGUUAUCAGGGGCAAAGUUGUUUGUGGCAGCUUUAAUUUGCUUCAAUGUAAAAGAAGCAGUAUGCAAGUCUACACCCCGCAGCUCUGUGGAAGAAAUUACUGGGUUAAUAAAAAUGAAACAUAAGCAUAACAAAAUGAUCUGUAAAAUCAAGAUAUCAUGAUUUGCAUAAUCUUUUAAAGACUUGAAUUAGAGAAUUAUUUAUUUGUAAGAAAUAUUUGUUAAUUAAUCAGUGCACUACCUCGUUCCAGAGUAUUUUCUGGUCUAAAACAGCCCUUCCACUGAAGGAUACCCACCACAACUAGGAUUAUAAAAAAUGCUGCAGCCACUGCGAUUCCCAAUGCUUUGCCUACUGAUAUACUACUGCUUCCAUCUUCUGACGGGGGUGUGAAAUCUGCUUCACCUAGAAAGUUACACAUCUCUCCAAUGUGAGGGUUAUCUAAUUGAAAAUCACUUAAAUACAAGGAAUUCCCGUAGAAAUAACCUUUGGGAAUUUGUAAAAUCUAAGGCACUUACGAAAUGGGAAAUUAUCAAAUUAGAUGAGAGAAGCCUUGAGUUAGUACUUAACAUACCAGGAUUGUGAAGAGAAAUAGCUGAUAUGAGAGGACCAUAAUCUCCUUUAAAUGGAAUUUCAGUUGUUCCUUUCCCAGCCCAAUAGAGACGGAUCUCCAUGGUCCCGUUGGUCACGGCAGCAGAAAAUGGUUUUACAAUUGCUUUACCAACACCACCAGCUUCAUUCUCAAUAUUGAAAUCCUUCAGCACGAGCUUCCCCUGCAACCAUACUUCCAAUUAGCUUAACCUUUUAUGCAUGUUGAAGUAAAGUCCAAGAUGGACAAUAUCUGUUACAUCCGUUUUUAUUUAAGGAAGCUUUUGUGAAAUCCAAAAGCGAAUCCAUGAGAGUAAUUAUGUGGUCAUUACUGAAUCCCAACUGAAAAAGCUUGUUGUGUAACAGCUUUCUGAAUCCCAACGGAAAUUAAAAUCUACAUAAGGCUGAACUGGAAAAGAUUUGCUAGCUCAAUAUUCAAGAAAAGAUGUAAUAUCAACCGUGAUUAAUUGGGGGUGGUGAGGUAGUAUUAAGCAUUAGUCACCUGAAUGUAAACAUCAAAUAUACGCUUUCCAAAACUGCUAAAAUUUUUGUCAUCAGUGAACAGUAUCUCUGCAAAGUGAAGGUUGACUGUGUAGUUUCCAUUCCCCAGACAGAAUCCAUAGUAAGUUAGAGAUAUGGCAGAAAGGCGGGCGGUUGUGUAUAAUUGAGAAUCGCUCAUCAAAAGUCUAGACGUAUUUGUCUGAAUGUAAGUGUCUGUUUUGAUACUAUUAUCCAAGAAGUGACCAGUGCUGCUUAGCCCCCAAUUUGUUCUACUUUGGGUAAAUGUUGAAGGCCCUGCCUCAUACGUAUCCUCUUCAAAUGUUGUAUCUCCAUUGGCAGUCACUUCACUCCCGCCACAGUUUAUAUGAAGAGAGUAGUAAGCUAGAACAAAAACAACAGUGAGCAUCCAGUGUACAAGUAAAAACUUUUAAAAGCCAAGUAACAACCAAUGAAUUUUAGCAGCAGAUGACUUAGCGUAGUAUUGUUGUCCUAGGUAGUCAAAGUUUUGGGUUUAAAGGAAUUACCUCAAAUUAGAAGCUAAUAUAAAACAAUGCGACAAACAUUUAGUAUGCUAAACAAGAUAGGAGCUGCGGGAAAUUAACUGGUCUUUUCCAUGUUUUUGUCAAUUAUAAGAUUUUUUUCAUCAGGAAAAUUCAAUGUAUUUAUGAAAGAAUAUUUCAGAUCAUGACUUACUUUUUGGGCAUUGGAAGCUUCUCAAGCAUGAUACAAUUCCGGUGCUGGAAAGAUGUAACGUAAAGGUCAGCAUCAUAACAGCAUAACAUAUAAUCGAAUUUGAUCAACUCGCCAGAGCAAUAUAUCCAGACAAUGCCAAUACCCAAUUAACUUAAAACCAAAAAGCUUCUAUUAUGCAUUUCAAUAUGUUAUAACUAGAUAGUGAAUAGAAAACUUACGAGUUAUUUCCCUUAGAGAAGCUGGCAAACAAGUUCCUAGAGAAUUGCACAAAGUAUAAAGCUUAGUCAGUGUAUUGAAGAUAGUUUAUUGAUGGAGGUGCUUAAAAGCUUCAAUUGAUAGUAUUCUUACACGCUUCGCUUUUGGCAGCUCGACUCUGCGCUUCCAUCAGUGAAAUUAUUAUAUGAAAGAUCUCUGCAAACAGAGUUUUAUGUGACUCAUCGUCUUCCAGAAUGCAAAAAAUUGCACCAAGAGUGCGAAGGGGAAGCUUACAUUUUGUCUCCUUUUUCAAGCAUCCAAGGAGGUAUCGCUCCAGUUAGCAAAUUUCCGGUGAAGUAUCUAUAGCAAAAUAUAAUAACAAAGUAGUAAAAGAAGUACGUUAAACAACCCACGCUUACAAGAGGGAAAUUUGGAAUAAGAAAAAAAGAUGCUUACAUGUAAUCCACAUCAUAUAGAUCAUCGAAGUUGCUUGGAAUUUGUCCCCUUAGUCUGCUAAAGCUGAGAUCCCUGAAAGAAAAUUCAUAAAAGAAUCAUAAAUUAACUGAAAUUUCCCCGUAUGUAUACCUGCAGAUAAUAAACAACGUUUGCACUAACAAGACUUUCAAUGUUGUCAUAUUCCCAAGAUAAGGAGGCAGCUCUCCUGUGAUAUUACAAUUCCUCAAUAUCCUGCCAUGACAGGAUCAAACAUUAAGAGAUCUUUCAACAAGCCAAAAGAUGAACAAAAUUUCUAUGAAUUGGAUACUUACAAGUUCGUCAUCUUCUUAUUACCAAGUUGGGGAAAAGUUGCUUCAGGUCCAUUCAGGUCACUAAUUCUCCUGCAUCGUGAAAUUCAACAAAAACCAAUAAGCCUAGUAUCAGUCAAAUACAUUAUGCACAUGAGUAACAAAAAUAGAAAAACCAUACAUACAAGUCCGUUAAAUUUUCCAGAGAAAAAAUGCCAGAAGGAAUUGGCCCAACCAAACCGCUUGGCUGAAUGAAUCUGUUGAUACAUGUAAUAUUUAUUUCAUUAGUCACCAUACGCAUAAUUUAUUGUUAAUAAAAUAAUGAAUUAAGGGAAAAAAAAAAAAAAACUAGCUCUUACAGUUUUUCAAGCUUUGUCCAGUUCUGAAUAAAACUAGGUAUUUGUCCUGUGAAUAGGUUAUCACCAAUUCGACUGCAUCAUUUGGGAUAACAAAAGAAAAAAUAAAUUAAUUAAUGACCAUUUACUGUUUUAAACACACGCAAGAUGCUAAAUUGUUCAAGAAGCAGCAUAGCUGAGAUCAGCACUGAAUCCAAAUUCAAGAAAGAAGACUGUGAAAGAGUAAGAAAAAUCAAAAGCUUACAAAUCCUUCAUAUUGGUCAACUUAGCAAAUGUUUUAGGCAACUCCCCAGUAAAAUUAUUUGAACUAAGAUGUCUGUAACAAGAGCAAUAACGAGCCGAGUUAUCAAUCUAAUAAAUGUAAGUUUUUUCUUCAGGAUUUUGAUUUGGAAUAAAAGGGUCUUAUAAGUUUAUAUGAAUCGCGUAUCCCUUACAGUUUUUCAAGAUUGAGUAGACUACCAAGCUCCUCAGGCAGUUCUCCUGAAAACUGAUUGUAUUGGACGGUCCUAUUCAUUUUACCGAACAUAAAAGAAUCAAUUAAAACAAGAUUAAUAUUUUUCUAAAAUCGAAGGGGGAAAAAGAGAUACGAAAAUAAAAACUCACAGAUUGACAAGUGUGGAAAUAUUUGCUAAAUAUUUUGGGAUUGGACCCGUUAGCCGGUUUGCUAGGAGGGAACUGAAACAAGAAUCCCAUAUGUGUUAGUUUAAAUGUAAAAUAUCUUCUGUUCAUCUAAAUUAAAAAUGAACAUCACGUUUACAUUCAUGAAGCAAGAUAACCAGAAAUUGAGCUACGAAUUGAAGGAAUUUGCAGGUGGGAUGAAUGAGACAUUAUAUUUUAAAAAUUAUUGAAUUUAAAAGUUUAAGUUGAUAAAUAAGGGUUUAAAAAAAUAUUAAAGGUUGAUCUCAAAUUCUUUAUAAUAUAUGUUAUCAAUCUCCCGUAGUUACUUAUAUAUGAUUUAGCAAAAAAUAGACAGCUGCUAAGUUAUAUUAUUUGUAACUUACAAUUGACCCAAAAUUAGUUUCUCAAGACCCCUACGAGUUUGACAACAAACUUUACAUUUUGAAUAAUAACUGAUUUUGAAUUGACUUAAGUUAGAAAUGAAAUGACUUAUUAGUAAGACCCAGCAAAAACCCGUCCGCAUUAGAGAAUUUUCAUAAGUACACUAUAUAAUAAAGUAAAGAAAAAGUAUGACAUACAUAUUAAGAAGUGGCAGAGAGGCCCAUUCUGAAGGGAUAGUGCCACUAAGGUAGUUGCGAGGGAGACUACUGUUCAUGUCAGACAGUUAAUUAAUUUCGUUAAUUAUAUAUGUAACAAAAUGAACAUAUGUAAAUGUCUAAUGGGAAAAGUUAUAGUUAAUGAAGGGUAAAUUGGAAUGGAGAAGUGCUUACAUAUCUUGGAGGAAAGUGUACAGCAGUAGAAUUAGAAACUGAGAAAAAUUAAAAAAAUACUCAGUUUUUCUAUUUCAAAGCAUCAAGAUUCUUGAUUGGAGAAUAAUAUAAUGUUCUUAGCUUUUAAAUCACAUGGAAAACAGAGUUAGCAUUGCGAUAAUAAUGAUUACAAUGGUCAAAGUCUAAGGAGUACAAUUGCUGAAAAUUAGACUGCUGUACCGUACAUCCGCCUUGGCCGUACAGCAGUUCAUAUUGGUCCUCAACAAGAAUUUUUUAUAAGUAACAAAAUGAACAUAUGUAAAUGUCUAAUGGGAAAAGUUAUAGUUAAUGAAGGGUAAAUUGGAAUGGAGAAGUGCUUACAUAUCUUGGAGGAAAGUCAGUUCGGCCAAUUUUGGUGGGAGAACUCCUGUGAGAUUCUGCUCCUUCAGAACUCUGUUUGAGUAGAAAAGUAUGAGACUUGAUUUAUGUAUUUACUUAAAAAAGGGAAAAAAAAAAAAGGCAAGUGAAUAAUAUAGAUAAACAAACAAAUAAUGCAGGGGCGUUUGGUUACUUUGAUUUGGUACCGUUUUUGGUUUACCGUUUUCUGUUUUCCAGAAAUGAAAAAUAAGAAACGUGUUUAGUGGCACCAUUUCUCAGCCUGUUUUUUUAUCAGACUGAAAAUGAGUACAACUCAUUUUGCACCAUCAUCAAAGGAAAAGAGAAAAAUGAUAAAAUAUUUGUUUGCAUAGAUAUCGCAUAUGUCUUCUUUCGAGAUUCGGCCGCACAUCUGAAAACAAACAAUUGUGUACGAUCAAACAAUUUGGCCCCCCCGCAAACUAUAAAAAGAUGAGUUCCAAAUAAAUAUAGGACGGUAACAAAUGAGGCAUGUAAAACCGGAGUGAACGAACACAAAAUUUUUUACAUGGUUCGACAAAUUAUCUUAUGUGCUGUGUCCUUGCCUCUAAAAAAAAAUAAAAAUAAAACGUUGUGGUUUAAUAGGGUGUAUAUGUCGUUUUAUCUAUUAUUAAUUACUGUUUGCAAAAGAAUUUAUAUUUAAUAUUGAGCUGAUCUGUACUCAACUCUUCAUACGUACAGAAUAGAUGAUUAAAAUGUAAUUAGUUUUAUAUUCUUGUCUAACUAUUAAUUGUGUAUUACUGAAUCUAAAUCCGCGCAAAAAGCUUUAUGAGAUAGAGAUAGGGACAUAUAAAUGUACGUACAUACGGAAAACAUAGCAAACGGUGCCGUUAGAGAAGGAGCAAUUGCAGGUGACAGCAUUCUCUUCUGGAAUCUCAGCCCAUCCCUCUUCUCCACUGCAUGGAUCUACGCUGAAGUUCCAGUCCUUCUUCCCUAGCGUAUUGGCUAUAUCUUUUAAAGCUUGUACUGCAUGCAUCAAAUUGUUACAAACACGUACGGCUAAGUUUAACUGAUAGCGUUCAACAAUAUCAGUCUGUAUAUCAGUAUACAUGCAUACAUAUAGAUAUAUAUAUAUAUGUGUGUGUGUGUUUGUAAAGUAACAAGUAUCAGCCUUCCAAAAAAAAUAUAUAUAUAUUAGCAAGUUUGAAACCAUUAUGUCCUCCGGAUUAAAUUUACUUAAUCCGGAUUUUACGACAGCAUAUAUUUAAAUAUAAGUUCCCUCUGUUCAGAGAGGUUAAUAAAAUCUCUGUUCAGAGAGGUUAAUAAAAUAAAAAUGAUAUAUAAUUGCACAGACUUUCUUUCUUUCUCUCUAGCUAGCAUACCUUCAUUUUCUGGCAAGAUGGCUCCAGAAGCAAGAGCGCUUACGAGGGCAAGGGCAGUAAGUGAAAGAAAAAGAAGACGAUGAAACAUCUCUUUUUUUUUUCCCUCCCCACUUUUGCUGAAGAAAUUCAGCAAUAGCUGCUUUAAUUUGAGAGUGAAAAACGAUUAAUUCGGAGAAUUGGUUGCAAAGUUUAUGAUUUUUAUUUUUUUAUAAGAGGAUGGGAAUUGAAUUCUGCGUGGAAAAAUGAAAGAAGACUUGACUUGACCCUUAGUAAAUGAUGGCAACAAGAGUGUAUUACUUUUAAGUAAUGAUAGAGUCAGAACUAUUUGGUACAAUAAGUGUUUAUAAAUUUAUUUCUGGCUCUAUUAUUAUUAAUUACUUUAUCCGAUUCAGAUCCUUUUAUGAUUGGAUAAAUUUUAGAGUAUAUCUGAAAUGUUAUAUCUAAUUAAUAUAAUUUUUUAAAAUAAAUAUACACAUAAUAUACAUACAUUAAUUGAAUAUAACACAUUUAAUGUAUUCUAAAAUCACUCUAUGAACCGUCGCAUUAUUAAAUUCAAUGGCUAGGAUUUAUUCUCUUGUUAAUUUUUCAUUUCACAAUUAUUGAUACAUAUUGUUUUGUCCGUAACAAAAAGUCAACAGCACGUGUGGUUGGAUGACGGUCAUAUCUUAUCAAAAUCAACUUAAUUUGAGCCCUAGGAAUCACAACUUGAAUUGCUGGGAACCAAAGAACCAUAUCUCUACCGAGAGAUUUGUGUCAAAAGCAGCCAUCCAACUAGAUGGUCAACAUUCAAAGAAGAGAAAUUUUGCAGCAAGUUGGAAAGGAAAAGGAGCACACGGGCUUGGCAUUGAAAAGAAGAAGUUGGCAACUACUUUGAAAUAUAUACAUAUAUAUAUAUAUUAAUUUAAUAGCCAUUUCAUUUUCAUUCAAUUCCAUCGAGAGAAAUCUUUCUUUCUUUUGAGUGUUGAGAGUUUUCAAGAGUUUAAUAAACUCUUGAGUGUCUAGUGAGUGAGAGAUUGGGUGUAUUAGGGUUUUGGGUAGUGAGCUAAAAUCUUACAAUAUUUGUAAUCCUUAUUUCACUAGUAAAAUAUUUCUUUCUGUUUUCGCCCGUGGACGUAGGCUAAAAAAGCCGAACCAUGUAAUUUCUGGUGUCCUCUAGUGUGCUUGUUCUUUAUUUUCUUCCAAUUUCAUUUUAGCUGCGGUCCUGCUUCACCCACCAAUUUCCUAACAGUGGUAUCAGAGCCAUUGGUUGUAUUUUUGGAGUCCGGAAUUGUUCACGUAUACGGCGUACGGAACUAUUCACGUAUACGGUGUACAACACUAUUCACGUAUACGGCGUACGGUACUAUUCACGUAUACGAUAUACGGCACUAUUGACGUAUACGGUACUAUUCACAUAUACGGUACUAUUUACGUGAAACGGUGGAAGCGAUCCAAGAAUUUUGCGGUGCAAAGCUUAAGGAGUCUGGGUUUUAAGUGAGACCAUUGUGACCCCUCCAGUCUUUCCUGGGAACUUUCCUGGUGUGCAUUCUCACACAUACUCACAACUAUUCAAGGUGGUACGCUAGCUUGUGUGCAGUAUUAUCAACAAAAUGGCGGCAAAGUAUGAAAUUGAGAAGUUUAACGGAAAUAAUUUUUCGUUGUGGAAAAUGAAGAUGAAAGCUGUAUUGAGGAAAAAUAAUUGUUUGGCAGCAAUUGGAGAAAGGCCCAUGGAGAUAACUGAUGACAAGUGGAACGAGGUAGACGGCAACGCUAUUUCUGAUCUACACUUUUGGCAGCAAUUGGGAGUAUUAUCCAGUGUGGCAGAGAAAAACACAGCGAAGGAAAUAUGGGAUACUCUCACAAAAUUGUACGAGGCCAAGUCACUACACAACAAAAUCUUCUUGAAGAGGAAACUCUAUACUCUUCGAAUGGCGGAAUCUACAAUGGUGACCGACCACAUCAACACNNNNNNNNNNNNNNNNNNNNNNNNNNNNNNNNNNNNNNNNNNNNNNNNNNNNNNNNNNNNNNNNNNNNNNNNNNNNNNNNNNNNNNNNNNNNNNNNNNNNNNNNNNNNAAACUCUAUACUCUUCGAAUGGCGGAAUCUACAAUGGUGACCGACCACAUCAACACAUUGAAGACUCUAUUUUCACAACUCACAACGUUGGGUCAUAAUAUAGAGGAAAAUGAACGUGCAGAGCUUCUACUUCAAAGUCUACCAGAUUCGUAUGAUCAACUCAUCAUCAACCUGACGAACAACAAUCCAGUGGAGGGUCUAGUUUUCGAAGAUGUUGCAGCCUCCGUAUUAAAUGAGCAGAGCAGGCGGAAAAACAAGGAAAACAGACAAGCAAGUUCGCAGCAAGCAGAAGCGCUAUCGGUGACGAGAGGGAGAUCAACGGAACGUGGUCCCAGUGGGAGUCAAAAUCAGGGUAGAUCAAAAUCCAGAAGUAAGAAGAAUGUUAAAUGCUACAAAUGUGGCAAGAAAGGGCACGUCAAGAAAGAUUGUUGGAGUAACCAGAAGAGAAAAGAGGGCAAAGAACCUAAGUCAUCAAAUGCUCAGGGUUGUGUAGCAAGUACCUCGGAUGAUGGCGAAAUUCUUUACAGUGAGGCAACAACUGUUUCAGAAGGCAGAAAACGACUUUAUGAUGUCUGGCUUAUAGACUCAGGAGCUACCUGGCACAUGACCUCUAGGAGAGAAUGGUUCCACACAUAUGAACCUAUCUCAGGAGGAUCUGUAUAUAUGGGAGAUGAUCAUGCCUUGGAGAUCGCUGGUAUUGGUACUAUCAAAAUAAAAAUGUUUGAUGGUACAAUUCGGACAAUUGGAGAGGUACGACAUGUCAACGGCCUGAAGAAAAAUCUAUUGUCUUUGGGACAAAUAGACAGUCAUGGGUGCAAAACUCAUGUGGAGAAUGGAAUAAUGAAGAUCAUUAAAGGCGCGCUUGUAUUGAUAAAGGCAGAAAAGAUCGGUGCUAAUUUAUUCAUGCUUAAAGGAGAAACACUACAGGAGGCUGAUGCGUGUGUCGCGUCAAAUGGAGAAGAAUCAACGAUGAUGUGGCAUCUCAAACUUGGCCACAUGUCAGAACAAGGCUUGAAGAUUCUCUCUGAGCGAAAAUUGCUUCCGAGGCUCAAAUCGGUAAGUUUACCAUUUUGCGAGCAUUGUGUUACAAGUAAGCAGCAUAGAUUAAAAUUUAGUAGAUCUAUUGCUAGAAGUAAAUGCAUUCUAGACUUGAUUCAUUCUGAUGUUUGGGAAUCACCGGAUAUAUCCAUGGGAGGUGCAAAGUACAUGGUGACUUUCAUUGAUGAUUAUUCCAGAAGAUGUUGGGUGUAUCCAAUUAAGAAAAAGUCAGAUGUAUUUCAUGUGUUUAAAGAAUACAAAGCGCGGGUGGAACUUGAAUAUGGUAAAAAGAUCAAGUGCUUGAGGACAGAUAAUGGUGGAGAAUAUACAGACGGCGAGUUUCUUGCUUUCUGUAAGCAAGAAGGUAUUCAGAGGCAGUUCACGAUGGCAUACACUCCUCAACAAAAUGGAGUGGCAGAACGGAUGAACAGAACUCUUACAGAAAGAAUAAGAGCUAUGUUGAAGACUGCUGGUCUACCCAAUUCAUUCUGGGCAGAAGCAGCCAAAACUGCCUGUUAUAUAGUAAAUCGGUCGCCAUCUACAGCUAUUGGGUUGAAGACAGCGAUGGAGAUGUGGACUGGAAAGCCAGCUGAUUAUUCCUACCUACAUGCAUUUGGAUGUCAUGUGUACGUGAUGUACAAUGCCCAAGAAAGAACAAAGCUGGAUCCAAAAUCUAGAAGAUGUAUCUUCUUAGGGUAUGCUGAUGGAGUAAAGGGGUAUCNNNNNNNNNNNNNNNNNNNNNNNNNNNNNNNNNNNNNNNNNNNNNNNNNNNNNNNNNNNNNNNNNNNNNNNNNNNNNNNNNNNNNNNNNNNNNNNNNNNNNNNNNNNNNNNNNNNNNNNNNNNNNNNNNNNNNNNNNNNNNNNNNNNNNNNNNNNNNNNNNNNNNNNNNNNNNNNNNNNNNNNNNNNNNNNNNNNNNNNNNNNNNNNNNNNNNNNNNNNNNNNNNNNNNNNNNNNNNNNNNNNNNNNNNNNNNNNNNNNNNNNNNNNNNNNNNNNNNNNNNNNNNNNNNNNNNNNNNNNNNNNNNNNNNNNNAGUAGAUCUAUUGCUAGAAGUAAAUGCAUUCUAGACUUGAUUCAUUCUGAUGUUUGGGAAUCACCGGAUAUAUCUAUGGGAGGUGCAAAGUACAUGGUGACUUUCAUUGAUAAUUAUUCCAGAAGAUGUUUGGUGUAUCUAAUUAAGAAAAAGUCAGAUGUAUUUCUAGUGUUUAAAGAAUACAAAGCGUGGGUGGAACUUGAAUCUGGUAAAAAGAUCAAGUGCUUGAGGACAGAUAAUGGUGGAGAGUAUACAGACGGCGAGUUUCUUAGUUUCUGUAAGCAAGAAGGUAUUCAGAGGUAGUUCACGGUGGCAUACACUCCUCAACAAAAUGGAGUGGCGGAGCGGAUGAACAGAACUCUUACAGAAAGAAUAAGAGCUAUGUUGAGGACUGCUGGUCUACCCAAUUCAUUCUGGGCAGAAGCAGCCAAAACUGCCUGUUAUAUAGUAAAUCGGUCGCCAUCUACAGCUAUCGGGUUGAAGACGGCGAUGGAGAUGUGGACUGGAAAGCCAGCUGAUUAUUCCUACCUACAUGCAUUUGGAUGUCCUGUGUACGUGAUGUACAAUGCCCAAGAAAGAACAAAGCUGGAUGCAAAAUCUAGAAGAUGUAUCUUCUUGGGGUAUGCUGAUGGAGUAAAGGGGUAUUGUCUGUGGGACCCCACUGCCCACAAGAUCGUCAUCAGUAGAGAUGUUAUUUUUAUAGAAGAUCAACUGCAAAGAAAAGAUGGAGAUGAUGGCACUGUAAAAGAAAAGUCAGAGACUGUGCCAGUAUAUGUCGAAAAUAAUCCAGAAGAUUUAGAUUCUUCUGAAACAACACCAGAGCACGAGAAACAAGAACCAGUCGAGUCUGAGGCUCAAGAAGUUCGUCGGUCAACUCGUGAGAGACGACCGCCGGCGUGGCACUCGGAGUAUGUCACAGAGAUCAACGUUGCAUACUGUCUUCUAACAGAAGAUGGAGAGCCUUCAACUUUCCAUGAAGCUUUAAACAGCUCAGAUGUUGCUUUGUGGAUGACAGCAAUGCAGGAAGAAAUUGAGGUUCUACACAAGAACAAGACAGGGGAACUUGUACCACUACCACGUGGAAGAAAAGCCAUUGGAAACAAAUGGGUCUACAAGAUCAAACGUGAUGGUAAUGACCAAGUGGAGCGGUAUCGUGCGAGAUUGGUGGUGAAAGGAUAUGCUCAGAAAGAAGGCAUUGACUUCAACGAGAUAUUUUCGCCCGUGGUUCGACUCACAACAGUCAGAGUAGUCUUGGCAAUGUAUGCUACAUUUGACUUACAUCUAGAGCAGUUAGAUGUCAAAACUGCAUUUCUUCAUGGAGAACUUGAAGAAGAAAUAUAUAUGCUCCAACCAGAAGGUUUUGCAGAAACAGGAAAAGAGAACUUGGUUUGCAGAUUGAACAAAUCUCUAUACGGUCUCAAACAGGCGCCGAGGUGUUGGUAUAAGAGAUUUGAUUCCUUCAUUAUGAGCCUUGGAUACAACAGACUCAGUUUAGACCAUUGUGCAUAUUACAAGAGGUUUGAAGAUAAUGAUAUCAUCAUUUUGCUGUUGUAUGUGGAUGACAUGUUGGUAGCAGGUCCCAACAAAGAUCGAAUCCAAGAAUUGAAGGCACAGUUGCCUAGGGAGUUUGAAAUGAAGGACUUGGGACCAGCAAACAAGAUUCUAGGGAUGCAAAUUCACCGAGACAAAAAUAACAGGAAGAUUUGGCUUUCUCAGAAAAAUUACUUGAAGAAAAUCUUGCGGCGCUUCAACAUGCAAGAUUGUAAGUCAAUUUCUACCCCACUUCCUGUUAAUUUCAAAUUAUCCUCAAGUAUGUGUCCUAGCAAUGAAGCAGAGAGGAAGGAGAUGUCUCGAGUACCGUAUGCAUCAGCAGUGGGAAGUUUGAUGUUCGCUAUGAUAUGUACUAGACCGGACAUUGCACAAGCAGUGGGAGCAGUCAGUCGAUACAUGACGAAUCCUGGUGGAGAGCAUUGGAUAGCUGUGAAGAGGAUUCUGAGAUACAUCAGAGGAACAUCAGAUGUUGCAUUAUGUUAUGGAGGAUCAGAGUUUACUGUCAGAGGCUAUCUGGAUUCAGAUUUUGCAGGAGAUCUUGAUAAAAGAAAAUCCACUACUGGUUAUGUGUUUACACUUGCGGGAGCAGCUGUAAGCUGGGUUUCGAAACUGCAGACCGUUGUAGCUUUAUCUACAACAGAAGCAGAGUACAUGGCAGCUACACAAGCUUGCAAGGAAGCUAUCUGGAUACAAAGAUUAUUGGAGGAGCUCGGGCACAAACAACAGAAAAUUCCUGUAUUUUGUGACAGUCAGAGUGCCUUGCACAUUGCAAGGAAUCCAGCCUUUCAUUCCAGGACAAAGCACAUAGGAGUUCAGUAUCACUUCGUUCGAGAAGUAGUGGAAGAUGGAAGUGUGGAUUUACAGAAAAUCCAUACGAAGGAGAACCUAGCAGAUGUUUUGACCAAGCCGAUAAAUACUGAUAAGUUUNNNNNNNNNNNNNNNNNNNNNNNNNNNNNNNNNNNNNNNNNNNNNNNNNNACGGGCUUGGCAUUUAAAAGAAGAAGUUGGCAACUACUUUGAAAUAUAUACAUAUAUAUAUUAAUUUAAUAGCCAUUUUUUGGCUAUAAAAGGAAGAGCUUCCUCAUUCAUUUUCAUUCAAUUCCAUCGAGAGAAAUCUUUCUUUCUUUUGAAUGUUGAGAGUUUUCAAGAGUUUAAUAAACUCUUGAGUGUCUAGUGAGUGAGAGAUUGGGUGUAUUAGGAUUUUGGGUAGUGAGCUAAAAUCUUACAAUACUUGUAAUCCUUAUUUCACUAGUAAAAUAUUUCUUUCUGUUUUCGCCCGUGGACGUAGGCUAAAAGUUGAACCACGUAAUUUUCUAGUGUCCUCUUUGUGCUUGUUCUUUUUGAUCCCUACAAUUAAUUGCUUGAAUUGAUCUGAUGACAAUUGAUUGCCUGUUUCAUAUGCCAAAAAGUAAAGCUCAAAGCUUAAGUUAGAGAAAAUCAAGGGCGUUCCCAUUGAGUCUAUCUUCAAAGAUGAUCUAAAAUUUAAAAGCAUUCACAUAUGAGUUGGACUCUUGGCACCCUUUAGAAGUCGAUUUUCAUUGGAGAGAAUUGCAAGCUUUAACUGUUAUUUAUAGUACAAUAAAUUAAAUUGUUCAUGAAGAGCGAUCAUUGUAUUACCUUUCAAACACCAUUAAUUAUUAGCAGAGCCAUAAAAAAGAUGAGACAAGUGUGUUCAUGGAAUUGAACAAUUUAGAAUAGUUUUAAUUAAGGUUAUCUUAACUAAUAGUUCAUAUAUUCUAAAAAAUAAUAAUUGAUACUUGUUUUUUAUUAAAAUUUUUAUUUCGCUUAUUUUCAAGUGAGCAACUUAAUGUUAUUUUACAAAAGAUUUUUCGUUCCUGUUGGGAGUUGAAAAUUAGAAAUAAAUCACAAUGAUAAUGAAAUUUGUUUUAAUCAAGUGUGAGCGAGUAAGAAGAAUCAGAAAAAUAAGAGGAGAGAGAAAAUAAAAAAGGAAACAAAGAAAAGAAAAAGGAAUUUGUGAGUAAGAGGAAUGGAAACCAAUUGAUUUGGAGUUUGAAGAGGGAAAUUGUAACACUGCCGCAUUGGGGUUUGGGGUUUCAAUGUUUCAUGAAGAAUAGUUUAAAUUAAAGUUAUUUUUGUCAUUAAUGGUGACGUUAUAAGAUAUUCAAAUUAUUUUAAAGGAAAGGUUACCUAGAGCUAGCUUAGUAAUGCUGUAACUUUUAAAAUAAUUGCUGUUCUUAUACCAAUUAAUAGAGCAAGAUAAAAGUGUUGGAUUUUUAAUCCAAUAUUGUUGGAUCUUUAAUCUAAUGUUGGGUUUAUAUGUGAAUAAUCAUGUGUUGCAGACUGUCAUAUAAAGUUAAACCCAAUUAAAAGUGAUCUAUUAAGGUUUUCGGUAUUAUGGACUUUAAUGUAUCUAAUUAGGUGUAGACCUUUAAUGUAUAGAGACUCAAUAUUAUUCUAAUUCUAUAAUGGGCAGAAUUAGCAAUACCUAAUGAUAACAGGAAAAAGUUGUCUAUAUAAGUGGUUAUAGUCCCUAGGUCAUACGUAUGUUUCUAUUCUUUAUUGACAUCCCAUCAUGAGAGAGAGUAGUGAGAAACUUAAAAGAUUCUCUAAGAGAACGUGUAGAUCUAGAAGGUCAACCACACAACUGUGGAGAGCAAUUCAACGUUAUGGAUUCAGGUAUGCUUCCGUAUAAUUCAUUAUUGAUUCUUAGUGAUACAACAUGAAUAUUCAUGGGUUAUAGGUGAUGGUAUUCAUUAAUGAUGGCGUUAUAAGAUAUUCAAAUUUUUUUAAGGGUGAGAUUACCUAGGGUCAGCUUGGUAAUAUUGUAACUUUUAAAACAAUUACUGUUCUUAUAUCAAUUAAUAGAGCAAGAUAAAAGAAACAAAAUGAUAAUAUAAAUAAACACUAGAUAUCAUUUUAGCACUAGACCAAACCAACGUGAUUAUACUAUGAUAUAAUCGAAGUAUGAUUAGAUCUCGUUCUAAUUUAAACGAUUCAAUGAGAUUUAACAACACUUUAAGUAAGAUUAGAUUACUCUAAUUCAAAUAAUUUUACAAGAGAGAUUUUGAUAGUUAAUCCCAAAAGAAUUAUAAAAAAAAGGUUUUGUUUGAUAUAUUAAUCAAAAGAUUAUAAAAACAAUAAGAAGAUCUCCUUAUUUAUAAUAUGGUAAACAUACCUCCACAAGUUAACUUAAAAAAGAAAAUCAAAUAACAAUUAUAAUGGAAAUAGAAGAUUAAAACACAUAUCAUGAUGUGUCAAUACUAUUUUAUUAGUACGAUUAUCAAUCUUUAAUUAAACUAAUAUAAUGUCCUUAUGGUAUAAUACUAGUCAUGCAAAUUAUUUGACUGUCAAAUUUGUGUAAUUUACAUGUAGAGUAUUGAAAAUUAUUAUAUUUUAUUUAAAAAUGUUAGUUAUAAGUCAAAAAAUUAAAUAUCUAAACUAUUAUACACAUGAAUAUAUAUUUAUUGGGCAAUUUGUUAUUGUGUGUCAUAAGAAUAAAAUAAAGUCAAUUAAAACUUAUGUUAACUUAAAUGAUCAAAGAAACCUAUGUAAGAAAAUAGUUAUAAGAUGAUUUAAUGAAUUUAUUGUAAAAUUUUUAUUGUUGAUUCAUAUUUAUUAAAACUAAUUUAAGAUUAUUAUAAAUAUGUUUUCCUAAGUCGGGUGGGUUUAUAUAGAUAGACGGGACAAUAAGGUGAAAAUAUCCCCACCUAUUACAUCCCCAGAUUCACCGUGGUUUCCCAAAAAAAAAAAAAUUUUUAAUUGCGACAAAACAUAUUUAUACUAAAAUAAAUAUCAAGUCAAUAUAUUACAAUUAACCUAAUAUUUAAUCGCGUAAUAAUUAGGUUGACGUAUUGGAAUAAAACUUUAAACUUAAACCCGACAAAAUUAGGAAAUGAACUUACUGACUCGUGUUCAUAUUGGAUUUAUCAUAUCGCUGACCCGUGGCCCACACUCAUUCGUGCAACGUACUUUUUCACAAUUGUUGACAUUGUUUUUUUCGUAGACUAAGUUAACAACAUGUCCCUGGAGCUGGCUACGGUACAGAUUCUGUAACAUACAGACCGGGUUAGCCAGCUCCCCAAGGGUGCCAUUUUGUCACGGGACGAGAGGUUUCAAGCCCGUGCAGUACUCCCGCAUCCCAUACUACGAGAGUAAGCCUAGUGGAAGUGGCAUAAUAUUGACUGGUUUCGCCCUGUCUUGGGCUCAUCAGGAGAACGACUUCCGUUCCCAACCAGUGUGUGUAGGGUUUCGCCUAGACCCCUCUUCAAGAUUAAGUCCUCGACUAGCGACAAGCUCCCCAAAAUCAAUCGGGUCGGCCUGCCUGAACUCCAAAGAGUCUAGGGCCAUUGUAUUCCCCACACGCACGCCCCUGAAGCACGUCUCCAACAAUCAGCACAACCAUCAUCGACACUAGCGUACAAGCGCAUAUCUUGGGUGCCACGAUUGCGGUUCGUGACAUUCUCCCACCGCCAUGACCAUGCACAUCCUCGUGCAUGAAGAGUACGCCUCGCAAAUGUGCACUUCCGCGCGAAAACGUGAAGAUCGGCUUGCCAAUCUCACCCAUGAACUCCUUGCCUACUCGUCCUCGAUCCGGGGAGAGGACCCACGUGCAGACGCUACCCAACUCAGUGCGAACGCUUGGGGGUGUGAGAACCCACUUGUUCGUCCCGCUUGUCGACCCUUGCGCCCAAAAGGGUGGGGACCUGCGUGGUGCGGCAUUGGAGCGCUUGGCGAGCUCGCAACGAGGGCUUCGAGAGAUGACAAGCGCGGCUCUGAUACCAUUUGUCACGGGACGAGAGGUUUCGAGCCCGUGCGGCACUCCCGCAUCCCAUACUACGAGAGUAAGCCUAGUGAAAGUAGCAUAAUAUCGAUUGGUUUCGCCCUGCCUUGGGCUCAUCAGGAGAACGGCUCCAGUUCCCAACUAGUGUGUGUAGGGUUUCGCCUAGACCCCUCUUCAAGGUUAAGUACUCGACUAGUGACAAGCUCCCCAAACUCAACCGGGUCGGCCUGCCUGAACUUCAAAGAGUUUAGGGCCAUUGUAUUCCCCAUACGCACGUCCCUGAAGCACGUCUCCAACAAUCAGCACAACCAUCAUCGACACUAGCGUACAAGCGCAUAUCUUAGGUGCCACGAUUGCGGUUCGUGACAAUUUGCUUGCUUUAUUUCCAAUGCGGGAACACGUGGAGUGUAUGGAGUGGGGGAUGUGUGUUAUGGAAUCUGUAACAUAGAUUUCUCCCCAUGUCCCUGACUGGAAAAUUGUUACCAAUCACGUCUUAUCAAAUAAAGGGGAGUGAGGUGCCACUGUGUUUUUGCUCGUGACGUGAAAUUUAAACCAAGAAAUUUGGUAUAAUGGUAACAAAAAUAUCGUUAUAUUUUUAUUCGGAUGUGACAUUAUUUUUAUCAUUUUGGUAUGUGACAUUGUUUUUAUCAUUUUGGUAUGCAUCUUUUUGUUAAGACUCUUUGUCAUUUUUCCUUGAGCUCUAGGAGCUGUGAUAUUCCUCGGAACCAUAGAACUAUACGUAAUUACAUACUUGCAUCUGUAAUUAAGAACACUUACCCAGAGAUUUGUUCCCUUCAAUUCAUUGGUACGACAAUUUCUCUCAUGUUAAUUAUAACCAUGAUGUGGCUCAUAAUUCACAAUUGAUUGAAUUGGUCUGAUGAUUGUUUCAUAUGCCAAAAAGUAAAGCUCAAAUUAAACGUAACUUGGAGAAAAUCAAAGACUUCAUCAUUUUCAUGUUUUUAUUGGGUCUCAUAAUUUUUCCUUGUUGGAAAUUUCGAACGUGCAAAAGAAGUUAAAAACUUUUAUUAGUUUAUAUAAGAACUGAUUGUCAUGGCCGAGAUAAAUCUGAAUUUCCUUUUUUAUUAUGGAUAAUUCAUAAUUGGAUAUGGAUACGAGUGGGAUGAAUCAUCCACCGCAGAUAUGCCCCAUUGCUAUAAAUACUAACCAGUAACAACAAUUGCUUGAUUAAUGUUUUGUUUGAAGACUUCAAUCAAUUUUGAUUCAACCGAGAUCAUAACUUUGUCAUGCAUGCAGUCGCACUCUAUAAAAUGCUCGAGUGUUAGCACCUAAUUAAGAUUGAUAUUCUACGUGCACAAGCACUAAUCGUGUAAAUAAAUUAAGAGUGAUGAUAGAGCCAUAAACUCUUGUACAAACUUAUCUUGUACAAAUUGAUGUGGCAUUAAUUCAUUAGUUGAAUGAAAAUACAAAAUAACAAAAAUAAAUCAUGUGGGCAAAAAAAUAUUUAAUUCAACCAAUUUUAUUAUGCCAUAUCAGUUUGUACAAGAUAAAUUUAUAUACGAGUUUGUAACUCUAUCAUUACUAAUAAAUUAAUUAAAUAUUUUUCUUUCUAAUUGUGACAAUCAGCACAAAGAAAAAUUGACAUGCCACGUAUUUGUAAUUAAGUUCCCUUAGAUAUUUAUCUUUGAAUGUGUGACAUGGCAAACACGGACUUUGGAGUAGUUUUGGGGUUGUUAGUCAUUGACUUUGGAGUAGCUGUGGGGUUGUUAGUCAUUGACUUUGGAGUAACUUUAUUGGGUGAUCGACGAUCUAUCUCCAUAUAAACACUGCAUCCACCUUUGGAGUUAGGAAAGUUGUAACUGCUAACUUCAGUGUUGUUACAAGCGUUUAUCCUUGCAUCCAUUUGAUCUAAUUGAGCUUUCAUAAAUUGAAAACUCUCCUGAUACAUUCUCCGUUCUCGUGCCAACUCCGUAGAGUAAGGAAUAUUGAAAUACAUGGAUGGGGUGAUGAAUUGACCCAAUCUUUGCACCUGACUUCUAUUAGACUUCUUUUGAAGGAUUUCACAUAGGAUAUCAUUCGGUCCUUGGGAUUGGAACGUUCCUUGCUCAACUUGGCUUCUUAGCUCACUGUACAAAAUAAAUACAAAAAUAUUUAAUCAAAAUUAGGAAUAAAAAAAUAAGUUAAAUAAUGACAGUUUAAACAUACAUCACAUUACCAACAUUUUUCGAAAUAAACAAAGCAACCUAAUCUGUCAAUUUACAUGAUUUUGUAUUAUAAAAUAAUUCAGGCAGCUUUCAGUUUCAAACUAUUUGCAUUGGUAUUUUUCAGUGGUGGUGGAAACUUACAAUUAUUUCAACCAUUUGCUACACAUUAGCUGUAUAAGUUCCAUCUUUUUUUCCUGUGACCCAAUAACCAAACUUCACCGCGGUCAAUCUUGCGCUCAGAAACUCCGAGGUCCAACUGCUAUAAUAAUUCAAUAAAAAUUAAAUUCAAAACUGCUAUGAAUCAUCUUAUUAUUUGUAUUGAAAAUGUCAUAAGUUUGUAUAAAGUGGUUAUUGUACUUACUCUUUUAUGCAACAACCCAUCAUAUCUUGUGCUGCCCAAGUGAUGAUUGUACACAUUCUUCGCUGCCUUACUUUUUUCCUGCACAAAGUGGAUAUUGAUUAAAAUGGUUACAGGAACUCAAUAAUAUUAUCUAACUAACAAAAUUUUAAACAUAUCUGAAAGUCUUCGGAUAAAAUCUUAUCAACAAAGCUCUUCCAGUCCUCUUUUCUAAUGCCUUCAUACUCAAGAUGAGGCUUUUUCAGUGAACUCAAGCUGUUUGCAUUGGGCAAAAUAUAUUCAUUGGCCAACUUACAUCUAAAGCCCCUUAAUGCAAUUCCCAUCCACUUGAAAACUUGGGUUUUCACCUUAAGGCUCAACUUGAACUUUUCCUGAAAAUGAGUCUAUAACGUCUCCUUGAUGUCUAGUGGCACUUUCCUCCAAUCAUCAUAUAUAAUUGGAACUCUUUCCCAUACAAUCACCCCAAUGUAGUUUCUCAGAUCAUUUAUCUUUUUUCCAACUGGAACUCCAUACGAAUUGUACAUAACCUCAGUCUCAUCACUAACUCCUCUCUGCAAGUUUUUCUUCUUUGUAAGGUUUCGUCUUGGUCUUCCUUCCAGAUCUAGAUCAUAUGUUGGCUCCUCAUUUUCUGCCAUGUCUCUAACAAACCUACAAAUACAUAAAAGUGGAUGAGUGCACCAGAUACCAUUAUAAUAUCCCAAUAUAAUAAUAAAAUAAUAAAAAACAAAUUAGUUGCUGACUUACGGGAAGUAGUGCUAAUAAGGCAUAGUAGUUGGAUUAUUCAUUUUCCGCAUCAAUAUUUACAUGAAAAACAUCAACAACUGAUCUUACACAAAUUCCUCAUCACCCAAAUCUAACUUACAUUCUGGAAAAUUGUUGGAUAAUAGCACAUACUCAUUAAUGCCAUUCAUUUGAAUAGUUACAUUUUUCACUCACUGAACAAACAAUUGAUUUACUAUUAUCUAACUGAUCAUUCACAUAAAACACUUGCUUUGCAUGACCAGCUAAAAUGAAACAGUUAUAUUUGUAGCCUAUCCGAUCUAAAUUGACUACAGUGAACCCUAACUCAUCAACGUUAACCCCUCUAUCAUCUACCCAAUCGCACUUGAAAAGUACCUUCUUAACCCCCAGAUAAUCAAGCUGCCAAAUUUCAUUGACAACCCCAUAAAAAGGCAUAUCCCUAGAAUGAGGAUUUUUGUCUUUCGAACUUGAAAUCUGUAAAGUGUUAGCAACAACAUAAACGCCAUUGUUUUGUGUUAUGCGGUUGUUGUCCCGAUCUCUCGUAUCAAAAUUAAAACCAUUAAUACAAUAGUCUUCAUAUGUAACCACGCUUGAGCGGGGUUUGUUUGCCAACCACCAUACUUUUUCGUCAACCACUUCAUUAUUUGUUUUAUCAGUUUUUAGUUGUUACCUAUUGUUUAAUUAAUGAAACCACCAUAAUUAUUUGAAAGAGAAAAAUUUGUUUACCUUUACUCUGGUACUUUUAUUAGACCCAAUGAAGGUAAUCUAACUUUUUGUUUCAGCCAAUCAACAAAUGUACGGGAGUGCUCGGUUGGCAACCAUAAAGGCUUUUCUAUUUGACAAGGGUGUUUUGAUUGUAGUAAGGCCAAAUGCUCCAUAAAAGUAUACCAACAUAAUUAAUAAAAUUGAAAAAAAAAACUUAAUGAAAAAGAGGUGCAAAUUUUUAGUCACAUACUCUAUAUAUGGUUGAAUCUCAGGGGUGUUCACCAAAACACAUCGGUGCGCUUGCGCCAAUGUAGGGGCAUCAACCGCCUUAAUAUUUGCACCUCUGAGUGGUCUUUCGACUGUAAAAUCAAUUAGACAACCAGUAGAUAGUCUGAUUGAUUUAUAAUUUGAAAGGUAUUCAACACAAAAUUCAAGUGCUUCCUCAACUAUAUAGCACUCUGCAAUGCAACCUUCAGGACGGUAUCAAUUGUGUACAUAAUCCUUUAUAGGUUUCAUUUCUCUCUUAAAUGGAUACAUCCAUCGAUAGUGAACCAGGCCACAUAAUCUAACUUAUUCAAGUAUAUGGUCUGUUAAAGGGACCAUUAUAUCGAAAAAGGCAGGUAUGAAAGAUUGUUCUAAAUUGUAUAAGGUGAUUAUUAAGUUUAUUUUGCAAUUGGUCUAGAGAAUCAUGCUCUACUACCUUAGAACACAAAAAAUUAAAGAAGAGGCACAACCUGAUUAUGACGGAUUUGACAUUUUAAGGCAAACAAUUCCGAAUUGCUAAUGGUAGUAGUUGUUGCAUCAAGGAAUGACAAUCAUGAGACUUAAGCUCAUGAAGACAACGAUCAUCCAUUGAAACAAGAUUUCUAAAAUUAGAACAAUAGCCAUCAGGAACUUUGACACCUUGUAAAGUUUCACAGAAUUUUUUUUUCUUUCUUACUUAAAGUGUAUGGGGUAGGGGCAGGACUUUGUUUUGUUUAUCAGGAGCUAAUGGAUGUGUAAGAUCUUUUCUAGCAUUAAUUCCAUCUUUUUUUUUCCCCGGUUGAUGGAGCAAUGUGCUCUAGAUGCUCUCACAUACAUUUUUCUCAAUGUGCAUCACAUCUAGUUGAUGGCUAACUAACAAAUGUUCCCAAUAUUCUAAAUCAAAGAAGAUUGAUCUCUUUUUGUACAACAACUGAGUUACAUCCCCAUUACCCUCACCCUCACUUUGAACCUCACUAUCACCCUCACCCUCAACUUUAACCUCACCUUUACCUUCACCCUCACUUUUACCCUUACUUUACCUUCACCUUUACCCUUGCUGUAACCCUCACCCUCACCCUCACCAUGUUUUCGCUUUUUUUGGACCUUUUUCCCAAACUUGGUGUUAAUGUCAGCAACCAAGUUUAAGAUCUCUAUACCAAACAAAGGCCUAUGAGGAUUUUCAAUAAACAGCGUAUGACCCAUAUAUGACAUUUUUCGAUUAUGUGGUAGCCAACAUGCACAUGUGUUUAUCCCACAAAUUGGAUAACCAUAAUACCCAUUAACAGUACACCCAGACAGGUUUUCAUAAGUUGGAAAGUCACUAAUCGUCUACAUCAACACAACUCGUAAAUUAAAAGUUUGUUUCCUAUAAGCAUCAAACACAUCGAUGCCUACAUCCCAUAGGGUUUUCAAGUUCUCAAUCAAUGGUGCUAGGUAUAUAUCUAUGUCAUUUCCAGGUUGUUUAGGGCUAGAUAUCAGUAAAGAUAACACCAUAAACUUCCUCUUCAUACACAGCCAUGGAAGAAGGUUAUAUGUUAUCAACGUAAUAGGUUAACAACUAUAAGUAGUGCUAAGUGUGCUAUGUGGGUUAAUCCCAUCAGAUGAUAAAGCCAACUAAAGAUUUCGCAGCUCCUGGGCAAAAUUAGGCCAUUUCUUGUCAAUUAACUGCCAAACUGGUGAAUUUGCUAGGUGGCAAAGCUUGCCAUCUUUAAUUCUUUUAUUUUCAUGCCAUGUUAAGUUCUUAGGAGUUUGUGGUGAUUGAAACAUUCUUUUGAACCUAGGAAUUAUAGCUGUACCGUACAUCCGCCUUGGCCGUACAGCAGGGCAUGUAAAACCGGAGUGAACGAACACAAAAUUUUUUACAUGGUUCGACAAAUUAUCUUAUGUGCUGUGUCCUUGCCUCUAAAAAAAAAUAAAAAUAAAACGUUGUGGUUUAAUAGGGUGUAUAUGUCGUUUUAUCUAUUAUUAAUUACUGUUUGCAAAAGAAUUUAUAUUUAAUAUUGAGCUGAUCUGUACUCAACUCUUCAUACGUACAGAAUAGAUGAUUAAAAUGUAAUUAGUUUUAUAUUCUUGUCUAACUAUUAAUUGUGUAUUACUGAAUCUAAAUCCGCGCAAAAAGCUUUAUGAGAUAGAGAUAGGGACAUAUAAAUGUACGUACAUACGGAAAACAUAGCAAACGGUGCCGUUAGAGAAGGAGCAAUUGCAGGUGACAGCAUUCUCUUCUGGAAUCUCAGCCCAUCCCUCUUCUCCACUGCAUGGAUCUACGCUGAAGUUCCAGUCCUUCUUCCCUAGCGUAUUGGCUAUAUCUUUUAAAGCUUGUACUGCAUGCAUCAAAUUGUUACAAACACGUACGGCUAAGUUUAACUGAUAGCGUUCAACAAUAUCAGCAUAAAAAAAUUAUUAAAAAAAAUUCCAACAUUUUCUUUUUCUUUAUUAAGUUUUGAUGUUCAUUUUUUCGUACAUCCGCCUUGGCCGUACAGCAGUAAGUGGUUAUUCUAUUUUGUGUAAUGAAGAACUUUUUAUUCUUAACUCUUGGGUUCAAGAAUUCCUUCUUCUUUUUAAUUUCUCCUAUAUAAAUAUACAUUUUCAAUUUUUUUGUUGAGUCGAAGAUGGCUGAAUAUGGAGUGUAGUGCCUCUAGAAACGCAUCUUCUUAGUAAAAAAAAAAAAAAACCAUUUUCUUUUUCUAUCAUUUUAAGUGUAACUUUUCUAAUUAGUUUUUAUGCAUCCUUUUCACAUUUCUGCAUGCAUAUUUUCCUUUCAUGUUUAGGAUAGGUUGUGGGGUAUAAUGUUGUUUUAAAAAAAAAAUUUGUGUGAUUUGUUUUAACAUUGGAUGACAUGAUUAAUUUCAAAUUUUAGUAUUUGUAUUAUCUUCGGUCUUAAGUGAUGUUACGCUAUGUUUGCUACUUUACAUAUUGAUGUCGGAGACAAAUAUGAGUUGCUUGAAGGAAUGAACAUGUCAUAAUAAGUACCAAGUGAGUUUUUGAGCCUAUCAUUUUUCUUGGAGAGUAACCCUUUUGCCCGUUCUUUAUAUAACUUAGCCCGUUCUUUAACCCUUAAAAAAAAAUUGUAAAAUUAAAAAAAAAAAGUGUGUUGCUACAUUUGGAGGCCCAUCUAACUAGUAGAUAUGGAAGAUUAUUUAGAGCCCUAAAAGAUGAUGGAAAUGCCAUCUUUGAUCCGUUUGAGCCUUUCUAGCCAUCCCUUUUAUGAAAUAUCCAUAGUUAACCCUUUUGAGCCUUUAAAAAAAAAAAGAAACAUUUUCUUUGUCAAACUUAUCAUCUUGACCCACUCCGAUUUGGAGUAUUACCCAAUAAACUACGCUUGAAAUGGUUUACGAGUGGAGAAUGAAUAUAGUUUACCUUACCUAUGUUAAAUCUUUCAAGAACUCUUUCAACAAGUGCUUCUUGAGAUAACCAUAACUUCCUAGAUUUUCUAUCACAAGAAAUAUUCAUGCCAAGAAUCUGUUUUGCCGGUCCUAAGUCCUUCAUUGUAAAAAACUUGCUAAACUAUUUUUUAAAUUAUCAUUUUUACUAACAUCCUGGCCAAGAAUGAACAUGUCAUCCACAUAGAGCAAAAAAAUAAUAAAAUCAUUAUAACUAAACUUCUUCACAAAAAGACAAUAAUCAGACAUAAUCUUGAUGAACUAUGAUUCUCCAUAAAAGAAUCAAACUUCUUGUACCAUUGUCUUAGUGCUUGUUUCAGCGUAUAUAACUUUUCUUUAACUUGUACACAAGUUUUUCUUUACUUUUGACAAUGAAUACUUUAGGUUGCUCCAUGUAUAUUUCCUCUUUUGAGGCUUUGUGCAAGAAAUCUAUCUUUACAUCGAGCUGUUUAAUCCCCAAAUUCAAGCUAGCUACUAAUCCCAGAAUAACUUAGAAAAUAUCUUCACCACAGGGGAGAAUAUUUCUUCAAAAUUGACACAUUUCUUCUUACCGAAACCCUUCACAACCAAUUUAGCCUUGUACUGCUGUUGUGAGUUAUUUUCAAUCUUCAAUCUCUAAACUCAUUUGUUCUUUAGUGCUUUUUUUUUAAAGAAGAUUUGUUAAGUCAUAAAUUUGGUUCUGAUUCAAGAAUUUCAUCUCUUUUUGCAUAACUUUAACUGCUGUACCGUACAUCCGCCUUGGCUGUGUUGCUACAUUUGGAGGCCCAUCUAACUAGUAGAUAUGGAAGAUUAUUUAGAGCCCUAAAAGAUGAUGGAAAUGCCAUCUUUGAUCCGUUUGAGCCUUUCUAGCCAUCCCUUUUAUUAAAUAUCCAUAGUUAACCCUUUUGAGCCUUUAAAAAAAAAAAAACAUUUUCUUUGUCAAACUUAUCAUCUUGACCCAUUCCGAUUUGGAGUAUUACCCAAUAUCUUACAAGUUCCAUCACCUAUUUAUGUUUGAGAAAAAUGUAAAUAAUAUUUUGUAAAGUGAAGUUAUGCCCAACAAAAGCAAAAAAAAAAAAAAUUGUUGUUUAAAAAAAAAAGAAAAAAAUUAACAAUAAUAGGUGAAAUCCACCUUGCAACUUCCAAAAAAAAAAGAAAAAAAAAUUCCUGUGUAUUUUUCUCAAACAUACACUUUGUUUUCCUUAUUUCCCUUCUUUGUUAGUCAUGUCCCUAGCCUACGUUACGUCCUAAUAAAAGUCCUUCUUGAUUUUAGAGAACUAUAAUCUGAAGUAGAAGCUAGUUAUAUGGGCUAAAAAGAUGUAGUGGUGCAUUAAAAAAUAAUAAAUAAAAAUAAAUAAAUUGGGUUGACUAGUAUUUUUAUUUGACUUGAGAUCGUAUUAUUUCUAAGCUGGGGGCAUAUUUCUUUCAUCUUGGUGAGAGCAUGUGAUAUCACUUCUUUAUUAUUUUCUCUCUCAAGUACCAUUCAUUGGAGUGACUAUUUUUAUUGGGUUUAAUUUCUUUAUGAGAGUGUCACUACUUUCAGUGAGAUUUUGGGGUUGACAUGUCAUUCUUGAAAGUAGCUAUGACAAUCUACUAGGCUGAUUCAUGUGGAUGAUUAAUGUGGGUGUGAUGUUGCUUUAGACUAGAGAUAAUGCUUAUACUUUUAUUUGAUUGCUAUCAUUAGUCUGAUUGAAUAAACAAGAUUGUUUAAAAACAAAAAUUGUGUUUGAAUUUUGUUUUCACUUUAUUUGCUAGGGACUAGCAAUAAGCUGGUUGGGGGGUGUGUUGAGUGUUAGAAAAUGUAUAUUUAUAAAGGAGAAAAUCGUCAUUUUACAUUUCAAGUCUUACUAACAACCCUUACUUUUAUGUAUUUAAACUUCUUGUAAUUUAAUUAUGUGUGUUUUAUUUUAAUUUAGUAUUUUAUGUAUUUUAGGGACAUCAUAGUCAUUUCACAAGAAACGAGAGAUCAAACGGCAAAACGGACAUUACUUUUGAACUCAGGACGGUCGAAAACCUUAGGAGGAGCAUAAAAGGAAAAAUGGCACUAUUCACAUGUACGGUACUAUUCACGNNNNNNNNNNNNNNNNNNNNNNNNNNNNNNNNNNNNNNNNNNNNNNNNNNNNNNNNNNNNNNNNNNNNNNNNNNNNNNNNNNNNNNNNNNNNNNNNNNNNNNNNNNNNNNNNNNNNNNNNNNNNNNNNNNNNNNNNNNNNNNNNNNNNNNNNNNNNNNNNNNNNNNNNNNNNNNNNNNNNNNNNNNNNNNNNNNNNNNNNNNNNNNNNNNNNNNNNNCAUUUUUGGGAUCCAUUUUCUGUAACUCCCUCUCCAUCUUGUACUUUCUUCGUAUUUUAAUAAAUUCUCAUUUUGCCUCUAGUUCAAUUAUGAGUGGCUAAUUUUCUUUUAAGCUUGGGUUGAAGGUGAAGUCUCAACAUGUGUCAUGGGCUUUAUUUGGUAAAUUUAUUUUCUUUUCCCCUCUAGUUUUUGUGGAUGUUUUGACUUCUCGUCGACAAAUAAUACUAAUCUUGUCUAGUAUCGCCUUAGUUUCACCGGCCCUCUAGUACAAGGUUAUUAUUAUUUGGCACAAUAAGCCCUUAGCACCAUAUUGAUUAGAGCGUGGUUCAUGAGGUGUGGAUUCCCCCCUCAUGAUUUAAUUGGCAUUAAUAAGGAUUAUUUAGCACAUGAUGCAUGUUGAUACGGAUCCAGAUACCCAAGUACGUCAUCUCAAUAUAUUUCUCUUCAAUUUAUUCUCCCCAUUUCAAUUCCAAUUUUAGGAUAAUCCAAAUCAUUUUCACAACAAAUCCAACCACCCAUUUACAAAAUUAACUCUACACACAAUUAAAAUCCACCUACUCGUGGGAUCGACACUGGUCACCAUUAGUCUAUUCUACAAUAGAUUCGUGCGCUUGCGAGUUCAAUAAAAUUUGCACAACAAUCUACAUAACUAUAAUUCAGACAUCUAAAACACUAAUUUUGUGGCUGGUCUUGGUAUUUUACAGAGGUAAGUUUCGGGUCCACCUCACCGUGCCAAUUCUAAACUAAAUAUUUUUCUAAAAAACCCUUUUUAAACAGAUGUAGCCUUAGUUGUUCUGGAGUUAAAAACUUCAUAUUACAAAAAGAGGUACAAGGACAUCUAAUUGACAUUCUAUUUUCAGACAAUCUAUCACAGAAUAUCCAAGUUUUGUCCAUAACAUGUAUUGUUACAUGUUCAUUUGUUAGAUGUUGUUAGCUUAAUAAGUUUAGUUAAAUUAAAAAUAUAAAUUGCAAAAUAAAUCUAAGUUCUAUUUAUUUAGAGUCACUUAAAUACAUGUAUGCAUUCAACAACCCAACAUAGCAUAUAUGUAAGCAUUCAGUAACCCAACAGAGCAUACAUGUACACAUUCAACAAGCCAACAGAGCAUACAUGUACACAUUCACCAAGCCAGCAAAAUAUACAUGUACACAUUCAGCAAGCCAACAAAACAUGCCACAUCCACAUUUUUCAAAAUUUUAUUUUCAUAUUAGAACAAACAAAAGUAUAUAUUAGAAUAAACAAUUUAAUUCCAGAAGAGUCUAUGCAACAAAAACGAAACUAAAACCAUGCAUGUCAAUAUUUAAAACAUGUCAGUACAAGUAAAACUCAUAACACUGAUAAUAGAAACUGAAAGAAAGUGAGUGAUUUAAAAAAAUUACCAAAUGAAGACAACUGUUACACCGUAAACUUUUUUAAUUCUUCAGAAGCGAGAGAUUAAAUUGAACAUAUUAAUUCAACUUAUUAGAGCUACUCAAUUGAAAUAAACAUGCAAGAUAUAAGAAAAAGUAAUAACAAACUAAACAUUUUAGUCUAAAGUCAAUAAUUCAAUAUUAAAAUGCAAACAAAAGUUUCCUAUACAAACAAAUAAAGGUCCCUUUCAAAAGUUUAUUAAUUUAAAGAUCCUAUAAAAAAAUAAAAAACAAACAAGCUGCAUGUGGUUGUGACACUAAAAUGGUCAAGGCUAUUGUACCCAUCAACAUAUGAAUGAAGAUUUAAUUAUAUUGUUAAUUACUACGUCAGAAAGUUGUACAAGGGAAAUCACAUAAAAAAAAAAUUAAGGACAAUGCUUGUUGUUGUUGAAGUGUUUGCAUGUGAGAUAUUGCAUUUAUACUAAGUCUAGCAAGUGCAUUAUAGGGAAAAGAUUGAUGAAUUGACCCAAAUUGAAUAUGUAUCUUUAUCAAUGGCUAAUUAAAUGGAACAAGUUAGGCCCAAAAUUGAAACUAUCAUGCAAAAUUUUAAAUGCAAUUUCAAUAAAUGGGGAAAAGGGGAAAAACUCAAAUCUGCAUUGACAUUGUAUCCAUCAAUUCCAGUUAAAGUGUACAUGAAAUUCAAGUCGAGUGACAUGGCAACUAAAGAAAGAGAGGAAAGAAAACUAAUUUGAAUCAGGCACUUAUAAAACCACUCUUAGUUAAAAACUCUGGUACAAUAACUCAACUUCAAUUGCCUUUACCUCUCUGCUAUAUUUUCCCUAGUCCCAAAUUAUAAACAAUCAAGAUUACAGAAAAAAACUAAGAAUUUUAAAACCCAUUCUAUAGUUUAACCGCAACAAAACAACAUGCAUGAGGAAAAUAGUUACUAUAAAUUGGAAACAUAUUAAUUAAAAAUAAAUAGAAAUAAAUAAAUGGCACCUUCAGAAAUGAAUUUAUUGUAGUGGAGAGAGAGAGAGAGAACCGAAUCAUGAUAGAAAGGAAUUCCUGUGCUUCGGGCUUAGUUGGGAUUGACGUGAAGUUUGAUUAGAAUGUGCAGUGUCAACAGUGGGGAAUAGGAUUUUAGGGUUUUGUUUACUUAGCUUUGACAAAGAAGGAGAACCGAGAGGUGAAGAAUGAUGAGUGAAUGACUUAGAAAAAAGUUAGGUUCGAUUUUGGUCUUAGGGUUAGGACAAAACGAUGCGUUUUACUUAUUUUUAUUUUUUUCUAGGUGAAACGAUAACGUUUCUAAUUGAAUAUAUAUUAUUUACUUGUAAAAUUUCAGCCAAAACCCGCUAAAAUUUUCACUCAGGCGUGCUCAAUACAUUUCAAGUUCUUCAUAUCGCAAAACUAAUAUUCUACUGAUUCAGUAGCAUAACUAACAAAAAGUCACAUCAGUUUUAAUUUUAAACUUAAAAGCUUUGGCUUUGAAGGGUCUUGGGUUCGAAUGUCAGUUCGAAAUGAGAUUCAAAUUUUAUUUUCUUUUAUUGAUACCUUAGUGUCACCAAGAAAAAGCACAAUGGUCUUUCUCUUAAACUUAAAUGCUCCGAUGUUCGAGGUCCCCAUUUGAAUUCCAUCCGUUACGUGAUUAGAAUUAUUUUAUUUUUAUUACUAAUACUUUAGUGUCAGAGAUUUCUAAUGUCUAAAUUUCAGACACCAUAGUAUCAUUAAUUUGUGAUACUUAUGUGUUAAACACGGAAAAUAGCCCAUAUGUAUAAAAAUACUGAUACUUUUUAAUAAAAUGUCACAAACCAAGUGUCAGUAAAGACCAUUUUUGUAGUAGUGUUGUACAACUUCAUUUAGAAGGGAUAAUUUUAAAUUACUCUCGUAAAAUGAUAAUGUUUAGAAUGUGUUUAAAUUAUUGUAAAUAUUAAUUUAUAUUUUAUUUUUUUAAGAAGACAAAUAAAUUUUCAUCGACCCAUUCAUAUUUUUUCUUUAUCUUUUGAACAAAAAUGAGAAAAGUUUAAAGUUUACAAUAAUUUUAACAGUAUUAUGAUCAUUCCAUGUAGAGGGUAAUGUGAAAUUUACCCUUUCUAGAAUUAUUUUGAGUGAAAAGUUGUGUUAGUGUUUGUGUCAUGCACCACUUGGAAAGAAAAAAAGAAGAAGAAGAAGCCAGCAUGGGUCAUUAAUUUUGCACCACCAAGCUGCAUGCUUCAUCAUUUCAGCUGCUUGCUUCAGCCAUUUAUUUCAUUAUUUUAGUCAUCGGCUUGCUUCAUCAAUUUACUUGUCAUCUUGCUUAACUCGGUGGCUAUAUAAAGCACAAAUGUUGAGAGUGCUUUAUUUGAUACAUCUAAAGAAUUAAGAGCAAAAGUUAGAGACAGUGGCGAAGCUAGCAUCAUUUGUUUGGGUGGGCUAGAUUUAAAAAAAAAUGAAAUUUAUUUCUCAAAAAAUUUGUUUUAUUUAAAUGAAAUUAAGCACACUGCAUAAGCAAAAAUUUAACUAUAAAACUAUAAAAAAUACAAUGUAAAUAAGAAAAACACUAUUGACGAAGCUGUGUCCUGCGGUUCUUCAAAAAAGAAAAUUCAUCUACUAUCGCAUCUGAGUCAAUAUUGUCUGCAAUUUCUCUUUCGAUGUAAAUAACCAUACAAUCUAAAAAAAAACUCAUUCUCCAUCUUGUUUCGAUGUGUUGUCUUAAUCAGUUUCAUGGCAGAAAAUGCUCUCUCUGUUGUUGCUGUUGAAACAUGAAGGGUUAACACUAAACGAAUUAAUCUAUUCAACAAUAAAUAAAUCUGUGACUUUCUAGUCUCAACCAAUCUUUGACACAAUUUAGCAAGGGAAGUAAUAUUCUGAAACUCUUGAAGAGAGUGUAUAUCUAUCUCAAAGCACUCUAAUUGUCUUCUCAAAGCCUGUAACUCAAUCUUAGUGAAAUCUUCAGGAUAAAAUCUUUCAGCAAGGCUGCAAAUAUCUUCAAUUUUAAAUGAUUUAAAUGCAUCAAUAGGAUUUAAAGAUGAACUAAGAGUGAGGAGUUCCAAAGUCUGUUAAGUGAAUCUAUUAUUCAACUCCAUCAAUUGAAAAUCUAUCACAACAUUAAAUAUAUUAUAAUGAUAAUAAUGCUCAACUGUAAUAUAAUCAUUCUGUUGACAAGAACGUCCUCUGCCUUUCAUAUGGCGAGCUUUCAUACCAGGCAUAUCUAUCUCAUUCUUUUCACAAAAUAUAACUACGUUCUCAAUAAAAGUUUCCCAACCAUUGUCUCGCAGCCUUUGAAGAAGUUUUUUCAUAGUUGAGACUAAGUGCACAGUAUUUAGAAUAUCAUGAGAUUUAACUUGUAAUGCUUGACAAAGUAAAUCACUCACCCCCAAAACUUGAUUUAAUAAAUGCAAAAUGAACACACUUUAGCCUCUCCACGUAUGAUAUUGUUAGGCCCACACUCUACCAACUUCCUAAGAACUUUACGAACAACACUAAACAAAUCAAGCAACCUACUGACAGAACGGAAAUGAGAGCUCCACCGAGUAGCUCCAGGCCGUUGCAAAGUAUGAAUUUGAUUGGCCCCUGUACCAGUUUGAACUUCUCCUGAAGCUAUCAAAUCUAUUAUUUCUGCUUCGCAAACAUAUUUUAACUCAGAAAGCCGUUUAGCAGAUGAAGUCAGAACAUUUACAAUUGAACCCAAUACUAAAAGAAAAGCCAUACAUCUGGCACAUCAUUAGAUGCUGCAACUAAAGCAAGUUGUAGUUGAUGUGCAAAACAGUGUAUAUAAUACGCAUAUGGGCAAUCUUUAAAAAAUAAUGCUUGUAAUCCAUUCCAUGCACCCCUCAUGUUACUAGCACCAUCAUACCCUUGCCCUCGGAUAUUUUCAACUAAAAGAUCAUAUCGUGCAAGAACAUUACAUAUUUCUUUUUUCAAUGUUACUGCUGUAGUUUCCAUGACAUUGACAACUUCAAAAAAACGUUCUCGAAUAUACCCAUCACAAUCAACAUACCUUAAAACAAUAGCCAUUUGCUCUUUAUUAGAUUCAUCAAGUGCUUUGUCUACUAAAAUACAAAACUUCCCAUCUCCAAGUUCCUUGCAUAUCUUGUUUCGCACUUUGUUUGCAAGAAUAUUUAAAAGCUCUUUUUGAAUGUCAGACGAUGUAUACUUAGCAUAUGAUGGAGCAUUUUCCAAGACAACUUGAGCAAUUUCUUUACUACACUCUGCUGAAUGCUUUAUCAACUCUAUGAAAUUUCCCCGAUUUCUUGAAUUAACUGAUUCAUCAUGACCUCUAAAAGCACAUGCUUGCUUUGCUAACCAUUUAACAACAAUAAUUGAGGUAUUCAAUCGUAGCCUAUUCUCAAAAAGUUGUUGUGAAGUUUGGGCAUUAAUUAAUCUAUCAAUGUGUUGAAUUAGAUUCCUCAAACAACCCCAACUCUGCAUAUUCUUAUUAUGAUGAGAAGAUGGACCCCCUUCAUGCUGUAAAAAUGGACAUUUGUUUCCAUUGUUGACUCUCUUCCAACUAGAAAACCCUUCAAUAACAAAUUUUGGGUUGUUUGAUGGAAUUUCAUCAAAAAGAAAGCAUGGAAAACAAAAUGCACUAUCUUUUACCUCAGAGUACUCAAGCCAUGGAAAUUUUUUAAACCAGUGAUAUUGAAACCUACGUUCUUGCAUGCCAUCAUUAGUUAGUGGAUAAUCUCAUAGUUUAGGUUGAUAAGGUCCCAUUUUGAUGUACUCCCUUAGAAUAUCAUCACGUUGAUUUACUGAAUAUGUCCCUAUUUGAUGACAUAAUCCAGGAUCACGCUCCAGAUAAGUAUUUCUAGUUUCUUCAACUUCAACCCUUUGAAACUUGGAAGUAUGUUGCUCACUGAAAUCUUGAGCAUUAACUUGACAUGGAGAUAAAGACUUGGUGGAUGAUUGAUUUUCACCUACUCUCUUAAAAAAAGAAAGUAGAGUUUUUAUUGGUUUAUUUAACAUUGAAUCUGUAAUAAAAUACAUUAAAAAUUUAGUAUUUAUUUUAUAAAAAUUUGACAAAAUCGCAAGUUAAAUGCUAAUUAAAAAAAGUCAGCAUUUAAAUUAAUUGUUUUACUAUUUUAUUCACUCAUUCUUUCAUGCCAUCAUUAUUUUAUAAUUUCAAGAAGAUGAAUCAACACCUUUAUAAUUCUUUCAAGUUAAAAGCUCUUUAUAUGCUAUCAUCACCGUUUGUCACAUUCUAUUAUUUUAUAAUUUUAAAAAGAUGAAUCACAGUUCACAAAAUCAACAACUUCCAGUCUUCCACAAUUCCACUUCGUGUGCCAACAGGGCCGCAUCAAGAGACUGGGCAUUCGGCGUCGGCUCGGUAGUGAGAGAUUCAGCCUGCGGGUGCGGGCCUUGUGGCAGUGGCUCGGCGUCACUCAUGAGGCAGCGGCUGGGCGUCAAUUCGAGCGCAGGAGACUGGGUAUUCAGCAGCGGUAAGAGACUUGAGCAAUUGAAUUUUGGUGAAUUUCAAAUUUGGAUUUAGUUAGAUACUGGUGAGUUUUAUGAAUUGUGAUUUGGGGAAAAUAAAGAUUCCUAUAAUUAUUAGGUUUGUUUUUAUUUUUUUAUAAAUAUUAAUAAAAGUAAAUUUAUAAAUUAUAAAUAAUUUUUUUUUCAAAAAGCUUACCCGGGCUGCAGCACGGGUUAGCCUUCCUUGAGCUUCGCCUCUAAUUAGAGAGAAGGGAAGAAAGAAAUCGAGAAGAAAAAGAAAAAAAAAUUGAGAGAAAAAGAGAAGAGAAAAGAAAAGAACUAAUCUCCACUCAAUUAGAUGUUUCAUGGACAUAACAUUAUAGGACCAUGAUGAAGGGCCAUGUGCAACUCAACACCUAAUUCCACUUAAAUGAAUUAUUUGUGCGGAACAAGUCACUAUAAGAAAACAGGCAAUAGAUGGUGGAAAAUAACUCUCAUAAAAGAGGGUGCAUGAUAGACAGUUUAUCUGUCAUAUAUGUCAUUAAUUUAAUUUAUAACAGAAUAUUUGUCGUCAUGAAUUAACGAUGGUAUUCUACAGUCAUAUAUCCGUCACACGAUAUUUUAAUGUGAAAAAAUAAUUAAAUUUAAAUUUGAAUUUAUUUAGAUUUUCGUGCCAAAUUUUUAAAAUUUGGCGGGAAAUUUUAUUGUCAUUGAUAAAUUUAUUAUUCAGUUUUGGCGGAAAAUUAUAUAAUCAUUUGUAAAUUUAUUAUUCCUUUUUUUGCGGGAAAUUAUAUAAUCAUUUGUAAAUUUAUUAAAAGGGGUUCUAAAAUACGAUUGACUUUAAGAUACGAAUACUUGGAGUCUAAGAUAUUAAUAGUUGGUUUACUUUCUGUAAAAAAGACAUGUAUAUGGGAUAUUAGAUAUUGCUAGUUAUAUAUGAACUAAAGAUAUAUCUAAUCCACCCUACUCUUGUGAUUAUUGUGAAUUUCGAUAGGGAUUCUAAUAGAAAUUUAGAAAUUGUUCGAUUUCGUCUUUGCUGCUGUACCGGACUUUAUGAUGUGUAUUUCCCGUCAUAAAGUUAAAUUUUAUAAAAAAAACUUACAAUUAUAAUUUAUUUUUUAAUUCAUGUUUACAAAUUUAAUUAAUUAGUAAAAAUGAGUAUCAUGAAAAAAAUAAAAACAAUUAAUAUUAAUUAACAUUCAUUCAUUACAACAAGUUAAUUUCAAAAUAAAUACAUCUAGUAUCUAAAAUUGUCAUCACAACCAAUACAUAUAUAAUCAACAUCCCAAAUUUAAAAAAAAAUCAUCUAAUUAAACUACAAGAAAAGCAACUCAAAUUCCAGCCACCAAGCCAACAAAACCUCCAGCAGCAAUACAUCUUCUAACGGCAAUAGUCCAAUACCCACUUACCCAACAACACUCCAACACACAUUCAUCAGCAACCUAGCAUCUUUCUACACCACUGGUAUUCCAACCACAUAUCCAGUAACCUAGCAAACCAAUCUAUUAAGAACCAAUCAAAAUACCCAAUGUUAUCGAAUGCAAAACAUGUAGACUACAAUCGUUAACAGCAACCAUUAUAAUUUGACACUAUAACUUUAAUUUCAAUAAUUUUUUACAAUUAAUAUUUAUAGUUUCAUACUCAUACUAACCAUUUUGCUGAUGCAACAAGGAUGUCAGAAAAAUGGUUAGCCCACUCCAAACGAACCUCAUCUAAUUCGUCCUGAGUGCAUACUUUCUUUCCAUUAAACUGUCAAUCACAAGAUUAUUAAGAGGUCAAACUUCAAAAAUAAUGUCACGUAUAUAGAAUAAAAGAAAGUUAAGAAAUGUCAUCAUCAACUUACAUUGUUCAUUAACAAACUAACAUCUGCUAUUAUUUCCUUCAUGUACCUUAACACAUAAUAGCCACACUCCAAUUUUGCAAUAUUUUGUUUCGGAGCCUGUUCAUGCCCAAAAAAAAAAAAAAAAACUUACAAAAUCUCAUCUAUUUUAGUUAUGUAAUCGACAGGCACAUAUAGUUUCUGUAGGGUUACUUUUUUUUACCUUCACGAUUCUCAUCUUAGAAUUAUAAUUCUAUUUUUCCUUACUAUCCUCUACUGUGAAGAGUGUCAUGGUGCUGUAAAAAAAAAAAAAGUAAACUGUUAUCUCUUAAUUAUAUUGAAAAAAUUUAAAAUAUCAAUUGCAUGAAAUGGAUUGGCAUACAUAUAUUUUAAGAAGCUGUUCUAAAUCAGUAUCAGGACUGGACUGCACAAGAUCCACAUAAAACACUUCCUUUUUCACCACGCCAAACACAACUAAAACCCAAUGGUAGCUAAUAAGAGAAGGCAGUUGGAAAAAAAGCAGAAAACAAAACCAUGAAUUAACAAACAAUUGUAAAAGUAAUAUAAAUUUAGAAACAACUGUAAAAGUUUUAAAUGAAAAUUAAAACUUACGAAUGAUUGUAUGGCAUGAGAAUGAGUUGUUUGUUUUUUGCUUUUUUCAAGUGGUCGUGAAUAUGCUCAACUCUCUUUUAGCGAAAUUUUUCUGGAGCCUUUGGAUUUGUUGGGCAAACCAAACUUGAACACAUGAAUCCAAUUGGUUUUAUUCAUUUUCUAGUUGGUAGAAUGGUGGAAUCCAACAUCCUGAAUAGAAAAUCAGUGCUUCAAUAAAAAAAUAUACAGAGUUGAUAUAAAAUAGUGUAAAGAAAAUUCAUUAAACUACUUAAGUCAUAUAUACUUGAAUAGUAUUUACUCCUAAUGAUUGCAUUGACAAUAGUUCAUUGCAAUCUUUCUUCUCAAUAUAAGCACAAGCAUGUCUUUGGAAUACAUUAUCAUCAAUCAUAUAUGUCAGAACACCAUCAUUUUCAUCAGGCAGGUAUUUCUCACACAAUUUCCCAAAUAGUUGCAGCAUAGGAUGACUGUUCUGGUGCUUGAAUACUGCACUCCUUGUGUUCCUCAUAGGCUGCACUACAACUUUUUUGGCUUUAUCCUUUUUCAAAAGUGGCUUUUUUGUUGGGCUGUCAGAAUGCAUCUCCUGUAUACCUUCAGCUAUGCCAUCAACACAGUCAAAAUCUAAUUGCUUUUUAUUGCUUCCAACUAUUUUCCUCUCAUCAUUUGCAUAAUCCUUUGAAAUUGAAGGAUUGAGUCUUGGACUUUUCCUCAAAAUGGCAGCAGUAGUGUUUUUUGGUGGCUUGCCCAAAUUAUCUAGCUCCUGUGGAUGUUGAUGAUAUCAAAUUGUAAGUAAAUAUAAGUUUUAUUCACUCCUAAGAAUAAUUCAAGCAUUAACACCAACAAAGUUUUUUAAAAAUGGGCCACACAUAUUUCAUUAGGUGAUUUGUAAUUCCAUUUUUAAAAUUAAUUCUAACAAGACGCGCGCACACACACACACACACACAUAUAGUAUGCAGCAAUAUAUAUAAAUAUGUUGUGGCUGUAAAGCCAGCUUGUGCAACUCGGCCCCUGUUUUAAACAUUGUACUUGAGUACUUGACUUAUAUAGUUAUAUUAAUUAAAACAAUUAGCCAACAAAAAAAAGAAAUCCCACAUACAAAGACAAAAACAACUUAAAUAUAGUUAAUUUUAUUAACUAACCUUAUGUGCAUCUCCUUCACUCCCUUCAUUUUUUGUUGACUGCACCGGAAAGGCAACAGCGGCAUUUGCUGGUGGCUUGCCCAAAUUAUCUACCUCCUAUGAAGAUUAAUUAUAUGAAAUAGUAAGUAUAUUAAACUAGAUUGAAUAGUAAAUAUACAAGGCAAUAAAUCAUAAUCUAGGAAAAAUACAGCCAUUUAUUAUGAAUAAACUAACCUUAUGUGCAUCUCUUUCGCUAUUAUUUUCACUGUCAUAAUUUUUGGCUGACUUUAUUGGAAUGGUAGCAGUUGUGUUUUUUGGUAUCUCUUCUUUCUUCCGAACUUCUUCCUUCUUUCUUAGUGUUGAUACUUUAGGAUGUUUGUCCCUUUGACCAAAAUCCAUUUCCUCUUCUUCACAGCUGACUUCCCUAAAUUAUCCAGCUUCUAUCAGCAUUAUCGACAAAUAGUAAAUAAAUUAAACUCUAAUGAGUGGAAGAUAUACAAGGAAAAAUACUUAAACUAGGAAAAAUUUGGUUAACACAGAUAACUAAAGCACCUUAUGUACAUCUCAUUCACUGUCAUCAUCGACCAUAUUAUGUGGGAAAGUAGAACUUCCAACAUCUAACACAGAUAACUAAACCAUAUUACUGGUUUUUUCCAAGCAUCCAACUCCCUCUCUCACUCAUUUUGGAUGGGUCCACACAGGCAGUAAAAGUACAUAGAAGUAUAAAUAAAUUUGCCCACGCCUUGCAUAUGACUAGUUCGAGGAAGCUUUCCCAAUGCUUGUGCAAGUAAGUCAUUUCUUGCAUCUGAAUUGAAGGAGUCUUUUUUGUCCUCCUUCUCUAGCAUUUCUUAAUAGCCCACCAUAAAGAAACUAAUAUUAUUAAAUGGGUAUAGAUCUAAUAUCAUAACAAUGUUUGUUCUAGUUAAACUUGAUUACUAUUUUCUUAAUAACAUGUUCGGUUUCAAUGUCGUUUCCUCCAUUCUUUAGCAUCCGAGCUCACUUCCAUAAAUCACUCCUUUCAAUUAAGUCUUCAGAAAGACCUAAUUCUGCACACUACUUCGAUAAACAAAUUAGAUUAGUCAACUGUUAAAAAAUUUAAUAGUGAACUAAACCUUUAAUAAAUAUUAAUUAAUUAUCCACCAACCACCUGUUUUUUCUACAUUUUUCAAAAAUAUACAAAUCUUUUUUUUUGCAGCGCUCCAUCUGAAGUUAACAUUUUUUUCAUUAGUCCACUCCCUAUAACACUGUUAGAACUUUGCUAACAUCAUAAAGGUAAAAUUGUCAUUUCAUAACGACACAAAAGUGGACAGGUGCAAAACAAUAUAACUUCAAGUGGAGUUCAGCAAAAAAAAAAAAAAAAAAAGAAUUGUGUAUUUUUGAAAAAAUGUGAAAAAAAUGUGGUCGGUGGAUAAUUUACCUUUUACAUGUAAGGGUAAAAACAUCAUUUAUACAAUAUUCCAUUUGUUCUCUUAACAAUUUGAAGACGAAAGUGGAUAGGUGCAAAAUAAUGUAACUUCAGGUGGAAUUCAGUCCAAAAAAAAGAAUUGUUUAUUUUUGAAAAAGCCUGAAAAAACAUGUGGUCGGUGGAUAAUUUCCCAUAAAUAUUUAACAAAGCAAAAAAUUUACAUAGUUAACUAAUAUAUAAAUUAUUUCAUUAGCAAUUAAAUAUUUAACACACUUAAAAUUUCUUUUAUUAAUCAAAUAUAUCUUUUUCGACUAAGGCGGUGAUUGCACUUGUUCAAGGCUCUCCUGUUCUUAUUGACACGACUGAUUUUUUGCAUAAUUAGAUUUGUUAUAACACAAGGUAAAUAUAAUGUAACUGCUAACAUAUUACUUGUCCUAACUUGAAAAUACUUUAAAAGAUUCCGACAAACGUUGGUCGACAAACUUUAUCCAAAUAGGACGUUUUAUUUGAUGGUACUCAAUUCGGGGUGAAUACAAUUUCUUUUUAUCAUUUCUAAACUUCCAGAUAUAAAUUUUGGCCAGCAUAUACUUGAAGUCCGAAAUGUUGUUCUAAUUGAUUGUAUCACCUGCUUCCUACUUCUAGGAUGAACAAUGAAAUGACCCUAGAUAAGAGGAAGAUUGUUUAUGUGAUAGUUAAUAAAAAUCCAAAUCAUAUAACUAAUAAUUGAAAAAUGACAGCAAAAUGUUUAAAUAGAAUGAGAUGGAUUUUUAAGAUUACCAGAACAAAUUUCCACAAACGCUCCUUUGUCUCCAGCGGAACCUUAUGCCAGUCGGAAUAAAGAAUUGAAACUGAUGUACGAGCUAAUACCCUAAUAAAAGAAGCCAACUCAGUGGCUUUAUCGCCUGCUAGAACGCCCAUUUCAUUGUAUUGUACCACAAUCUUUUCCUUCUUCGUUUUAAGUUUUUAUUUUGCCUAGAUCCCAUAUUUACACCUCUCCUAGAGUUACUGCUUUCAGGAAUAUCAACAUCAGGACGAACGAAAUUAACACCAUCCAUUUCAGCACAAUCAAAAUCACCUCUAUCUAAAUCAGCACCAUCAUUAUCACCUCCAUCAAACUCAACACCAUCCAUCUCAGCACCAUCAAUAUCAUCCUCGUCUUCUGGAUAUGCUAAAUUAGCAUUAUCGGCAAAUAAGUCGCGGUAAUCGUCUUCCAAAUAAGCUUCCUAAUUAGAAGCAACAUCAACCACUACAUGUUUUCCCUUAGCCAUAUUAGUGCACCUGAAAUAAAUUACUGUACUUGAAAUAAGUAAAUUAAAUUGUAUUAGUUAAAUGAAAAUAUGAAACUAUAUAACAAUCAAUCAGCUGCAAGAAUAAAAAGCUAAUAUAUAAUUCAUUAUCAUAUUAGUUUGUAACAUAGAUAGUGAAUAGUUAAAUAAACACUUACUGCAAAAAAGUUAAUCAAUUGGCAACCCAAAUUCCCUCUUUGCUAUUUCGUGCAUAGAUUGCUUAAUCGCCAUUUGCGGAACAUAAUAAAUCAUUAGUUGGAAAUUCCUUGGUGAAGGGAGGAUAUUCUGUUACAUUAUUGACCUUGUCUUCAUUUAUUUGAUUAAGAUUACUUAUAAUAGGCAUAUGACAUACAAUAGACCACUUUGUUUGAAUUUGAUCAUUUACAUAAAAUACUUGUUUGGCUUGAGAAGCCAAUAUAAAUGGAUUAGAUUUAUAUCCUAAUCGGUUUAAGUCUACUAAGAUGAAUCCAAGCUCAUCAUUUUUAACACAACUACUUUGAACCCAAUCACACUUCAACAUAGGGACUUUCAACGAAUGAUAGUCAAUCAUCCAAAUUUUAUCUAUAACUCCAUAAUAUGUCAUAUCACAUAUUUCAGAAUCAUCUACACUACCUCCAUUAUUUUGAGUUACUCGAUUUGAGUCUUGAUCUCGUGAAACAAAAUAGAAACCAUUAAUGUCAUAACCAUUAUGUUUAGUUACAAAAGGAAGAGGCCCAUGUGAUAACCAUCGCAAAGUAUCUGAUACGUGAUCACCCUUUUCAAUCAAGUCAUAUACCUAACAAGAUAAGAAAGAAAAGUAAACAUCUUUACUAAGUGAAAAAAAGUUUAGAUUUCUUUGUGAAAAUUAAUUAUAUACAUGCUAGAACCUUAUCAAUUAGUCAAUCGGUAAAUGUAUGGUUGUGUUCUUCUUGUAACCAUUUGUCAUUUUGAUGUGAAUAACAUGUUUUAAGCCACUGCAUAUGGUUACUAAACAUCCAGAACAUGAAAAAAUUAGACUGAAAAUUAUAGAAAUAAAUUAUAUAGAUUUGACUAGAAGAAAUUAACCAAAUUACCUAAUGUAUAGUAACACCUCUUGCGUGUUAUGCAAGAUGUACAGGUGCGCUUGAUUUAGUGAAUGUGGAGGAAUUUGUAGCACUUUCCCACCAGACAAUGACUUAUCUUUUGAUAGUUUUUGCACAUGUCCAAGUCGAACCCCAACUAUAUUCAUGUUUGACAUGUAUUCUACACAAAAUUCUAAUGCUUCUUCCGCAAUAUAACUCUCUGCUAUUCAACCCUCAGGACAGUUGUGGUUCCGAACAUAACUCUUAAGAGUUUUCAUGUAUCUCUUGAAAGGAUACAUACAUUGAAGGUAAACUGGGCCACAUAGUCUAACUUCAUUGACUAAAUGCACAGUCAAGUGUACCAUAAUGUCAAAGAAAUAGGGAGGAAAAUAUUUUUUUAACAAGCACAAAGUAACUACAUGCUCUGCCUGUAAUUUAUCCAAUGUUGACACAUCAACCACAUUGGAACACAAGAAGUUAAAAAAGAAACAUAGCCUGAUCACAACUUCUUUAACAUGCUUUGGCAAGACACACUGAAUGACAAUAGGCAAAAGUUAAUGUAUAAGAACAUGGCAGUCAUGUGACUUAAGGCCCUGAAGUUUAAGGUCCUUCAUUGACACAAGAUUUUUUAUGUUUGAGGAAUAUCUAGCUGGAACCCUAUACAUUUUAAAGCUUUGCAGAACCUUAUUCUUUCAUUUCUAGUUAAUGUAUAACAAGCUGCAGGAAGGAAUGUUUGUUUGUUCUUUCUUAAAGUUGGUGCUAAUUCAUCUCUAAUUCCCAUUUCCACAAGAUCAUUCCUUGACUUAAGACCAUCUUUGGUCUUUCCUGGAAUAUGCAGCAAUGUUCCAUAGAUGUUCUCAUACACAUUCUUUUCAAUGUGCAUAACAUCUAAUUAAUGACGUAUAAGUAAAUGCUUCCAAUACUCUAAAUUAUAAAAUAUUGAUUUUCUUCCACCAAAUGCGGUCAUUAUUGUCAAAAAUUUUGUGUUUUUUAGAGUUGUUCUUCCCCCAUUUAUAAUCAAUAGACUCAACCAGCCGCAAAACACUUCCCCAUCCAACGGUUUCAGAGCAAACUCUCUCUCUAUUGUGUUAUCAAAGGCUUUUCUUGGUCCUGAAAUUCAUGACCAUGAGGAAGCCAAUGACGGUGAUUGAUAUAUGUAUUUUUGCCACUGUGUUUAAGUCUAUAUUUAGUAGUGUCUACUCCACAAUAUGGGCAAGCAUUAUAUCCUUUAACAAUGCAACCAACUAGAUUUCCGUAUGCCAGAAAGUCAUUUAUAGUCCAUAAUAACACAACCUGCAAAUUAAAGAACUCUUUUCUGUAGGCAUCAUAAGCCUCCACCCUAACUUCUCACAAAGUUUGUAAAUCUUCUAUCAAAGGUGCCAAGUACACAUUGAUGUUGUUGCCCAGUUGUUGAGGACCAGAAAUCAGUAGGACAACAUCAUGAAUUUCCGUUUCAAACACAACCAUAGAGGAAGAUUAUACGUUAUAAGAAUAAUUGGCCAACUAUACAUACUACUAAGAGAGCUAUGUGGAUUUAUUGUAUCAGUUGCUAACACAAGACGGAGAUUUCUACGAUCUACGACAAAUGUAGGCCAUUUGUUAUCUACUAAUUUCUAUGAUGGCGAGUCUGCUGGAUGUCAAAGCUUACUAUCAUCGACUCUCUCAUUUGCAUGCCAAGUCAAGUCCUUGGCCAUUUUUUAGGACUAAAACAUGCGUUUAAAUCUAUGUAUGGGCGGACAAUACCCUAAAACCUUGGCAAGAACCCAUUUCCUAUAUUGGUCAACACUGCCAUCUUUUUUUUUCCAUCUAGAUAAACCACAACUAGGACAGUCAGAAGCCCUUUAUACUAUUUUCUGUAAAGUAUGCAAUCAUUUGGGCAAGCAUGUAUUUUCACAUAUUUUAAGCUUAAAGCGGACAUUGGCUUUCUGGCCUCAUACAUAGACACAAGAAUUUCAUUACUUUCAGGCAACAUCUUGGCUAGAAGGCCUAAUAACUCGGUAAAACUUGUGUCGAACCACCCAAAUUUACCCUUUAUAUUGAACAAGCUAACCAAAGUGCCUAACUUAGUAAAAUUUGUGCAUCCUGGGUACAAAGGCUUCUCAGCCUGUUCUAGAAGUUCUUUAAAUGCUUUAGGAUCUGCAACAUAAUCCCUAUAAGCAUCGUUAACCAUAUCUACUGUGUUACUGUCAUUGUAAUCUAUAAACUCAAAUGGAACAUUUACAUCUACAUUAGGAAGUGGUGUGUCCUUGACAUCUUCCCCAUGCCAACUCCAGGUUGUGUAAGAAACAUCAAAACCAUGAAAAUACAAAUGUUCACGAACAACCUUAUGUGUAUGAAAGGAUAAAUUCAUACAUUUAGUACAUGAACAUUUAAUGACGCUACUGCCUUCGGAAUUACCAAUAGCAAACUUCAUAAAUUCUUCAAUCACAUCUUCAUACUCACUUGACAAUUUAGUACAAUGAACCCAAGACUUAUCCAUCUUUAGUUUCAAUUAGUUUUGAUCCUGACACAUUAAGGAGGUUACAAAUAAAUAAAACAUCAAAAUACAUUACUAAUUUAUAUAAGCAAAGUACAAAUUAACACCACUUUAAAUACCUUUACUACAACAUAAACAUAACAACAAAUUUUACCCCCACACAUUAUAAUAGUCACAACACAAAAUACAAGUACUUAAACACAUUACAGUAGUCAAAAUCAUUACAAUAGUAAAUAAACACAACCUUAAAAUCAAGCCCAAUACAACUUCAAGUCAUGCUAUCAUAUAAAGGACCAUAAUAUUAAAAAUAUUUCAUACAACUAUAAAUUAACUAACGAAUUCAAAACUCUAAAAUAAAGAAGUGUAAUUUAUUUACUAGGUUAAAUUAAUUCCUCUACAGCAAACUAUUCCAACAAAAGAGAUGCAACAAACUGUGCAACAAGAGAGGUGGCAACAAGCUAUUCCAAGAAAAACAAAGGAUCAACUAUUACAUAAGGGAAGAUACUCUUUUUCAACAAAUUAAAAUACAAUUUUGCAUCAGAAGCUAAAUUAGGUUCUAGGUAUAAAUUUGUUGCAAAACUAGUACUACAACUUUAUCAUUUCUUAAUAACCGCAGAUUUCAAUAAAAAAUUAACCCUAGAUAUGCAAAAGUACAAAUUAACACCACUUUAAAUACCCUUACUGCAACAUAAACAUAACAAAAACUUUCAACCCCACACAUUAUAGCAGUCACAACACAUAAUGUAAGUAAAUAGACACAUUACAAUAGCCACAACAUAACAUAAAAAUCAAGCCCCAUACAACUUCAAGUCAUGCUAUCAUAUAAAGGACCAUAAUAUUAAAAAUAUUUCAUACAACUAUAAAUUAACUAACGAAUUCAAAACUCUAAAAUAAAGAAGUGUAAUUUAUUUACUAGGUUAAAUUAAUUCCUCUACAGCAAACUAUUCCAACAAAAGAGAUGCAACAAACUGUGCAACAAGAGAGGUGGCAACAAGCUAUUCCAAGAAAAACAAAGGAUCAACUAUUACAUAAGGGAAGAUACUCUUUUUCAACAAAUUAAAAUACAAUUUUGCAUCAGAAGCUAAAUUAGGUUCUAGGUAUAAAUUUGUUGCAAAACUAGUACUACAACUUUAUCAUUUCUUAAUAACCGCAGAUUUCAAUAAAAAAUUAACCCUAGAUAUGCAAAAGUACAAAUUAACACCACUUUAAAUACCCUUACUGCAACAUAAACAUAACAAAAACUUUCAACCCCACACAUUAUAGCAGUCACAACACAUAAUGUAAGUAAAUAGACACAUUACAAUAGCCACAACAUAACAUAAAAAUCAAGCCCCAUACAACUUCAAGUCAUGCUAUCAUAUAAAGGACCAUAAUAUUAAAGUAAUUGCUACCGUGCAACCAUUAAUUAACUAACGAACUCAAAACUCUAAAAAUAAAGAAGUGCAAUUUAUUUACCAAAUAAAAUUAAUUCCUCUAUAGCAAAUUGUUCCAGCAAAAAAAAUGCAGCAAACUCUGCAACAAAAGAGGUGGCAGCAAGCUGCUCCAACCAAAACCACAUAAUCAACUAUUACAUAAGGAAAGAUACCCUUUUCAAUAAAUUAAAAUACAAUUUUGCAUCAUAAGCUAAAUUUGGUUCUAAUUAGGUUCUAAGUAUAAAUUUGUUGCAAAAAAAGUACUGCUACUUCACUCAUUUCCUAAUAACCCUAAACUUUAAUGAAAGAUUAACCCUAGAUAUGCAAAUUUACCACAAUAGGCAAAUUAUUUGGCUCUUGGUCUUGCUACUAGUAGUACUACUGCUGCAAAAUAAUUAUCCCUUUUUCUCUAAUCCUUCAUCUCCAAAAUCUAAUUCACUCCUGCUACUGCUGCUAUUGCUUCUGCUACUGCUAACCCUAACAACUUACAUUCUUUGCUCUCUUUCAACAAAUUAACUAAUCAAUUUUUUAAUUAGGUUUUCUCGUUAGAUUAUUUAUAGAAUUAAUUGAUUUAACUUAGAUUUGUGCAAAAUAAACAGCAUGCAAAAUGAAGACAUAAUAGAAAUCAUACCAAGGGCUUUGAAAAAAUGAAGGUAAGGAGAAUAGCAAGAUGAGGACAGAAAACGAUGGCGAGGAACACAAUAGCUAAGAAGACGAUGGCGAUACCAGGAAAUGCACCUUCACUCACUCAAUUUCACAAUGCAAUCGGUAACCAAUACGUUAGGAAGACGAUGGCAAGAUGACGACAACCGAGAUUUUGGUAAGAUGAUGGCGAAAAGGAAGAAAAUAUAAGAGAUUAAGAGAAGUUAGAAUCGAGGAUUUUAGCCUUAGCUUAUACUCUCUGUAUGUUUGUGAGUUGUAUGUGUUGAUACUUAGAAAAAAUUAGGGAUUGAAUAAGUGAAACUCAGCACCAAAACGGUGCGUUUCAAUUUUUAAAUUUUAUUUUAUAAUAAAAAAUUUUAAAAUUUUAUAUUUAUGUACAAAAUGUUGUCAUUCCAACUCCGCUAAAACAAUGACAUGUCUUCAUUCGUGUAAUAUUUUAUUUUAAAUAAUACCAAAAGUGUGGGUCAAAAACGCGCCAAAUUAAGUCAACGUGAAAAUUCUAUCAUGAAUUAUUGACGUUUAAAUUUAUAUCACAAAGACAUCAUAUAUUCUUGACAUAAUCUUUUUCUAUCACGAGUUCAUUACGAAUCAGUCAUGAAUAUAUGAUAGCCAAAAAUAUAUCACAACUAUAUCAUGCUUUUAUGACCCACUCAGAAUCCGUCAAAAAAGUGUCUGUCAUCUAUUGUCAGUUUUCUUGUAGUGAGUUUAUUGUUUUCAACAAUAUCAUAUAUGUGUCCAGUAAUAUGAGAAUACCUUUUUAUUCUAUUUUGGCUUGAUUGACAUCAAGAUAAAUAAUCUCACUUAAUUAACUUAUGUAGUAAACAAACAUUAUUAUAGACAAGGAAAAAAAAGUACAUAAAUAUCCUAAAAUGAAUAUAGAAUUUAUGGUUAAACCAAUUCAAUAAAACUUAUUUCAUUUCAUUUCAUUUCUUUUCAUUUCUUUUGUUUAUUCAAUUAAAAUAAAUGAAUAAAUUGUUUUUCACUAAAAUUUUAUAGAAAUCAUAUUAAUUUUUUUUAACAAUUAAUAGCCUUAUAUUAAUUUAUUUACUUUACCUUCCAUUUAUAAAUCUUAUAUGUGAUUUAUUAAAUUUAUAUUAAUUAUGGCAUUAAUUUCGUAAUUUUAAUGGCAUUACGAAAUGUUCCUUAUUUUAGUUAUAUAACGAAAUGUAAUUUGGACCAUUUCAUACAAGACUAUCGGAUUUAAUUUUACGCGCUUAAAUUUAGUUUGAGUAUGACCGUUGACAGGGCUUAUUAUUAUAUUAUAUUUUCCCUGACAAUUUCACUAAAAUAGUCAACUACAAAAUAGGACUGCAGUACCACGUGUUGGCUUACAUCACUUUUUGUAAUUAAUUUUGUUUAUUAGCCGGGAAAUUUCAUUGAAACUCAAUUGUUACGAAAAGAUUGACCAAGUUUUAUCGUAGGUAGCAAUUUGGUUCAGGAUUCGUUGAUUCAAUUUGAUUCGAUACAAAUAAAAUGAGUUUGGGUUUGAAAAAAUUGAUUAAUUUAAUAAAUUAGUGAAUUCAAUUUGAUUCGCUAAUUAAACGGAUCGAAUCCGAAUUUGAGACAUUGAUUCAUUUAUGAUUUGCUUAAUAAAUGAGUUAUAAACUAAUCAAAUAUAAUCUAUUUGUUCAAUUAAAUUGCUUAUUUAUCGUUAAAUAUGUAUGAAAAAAUUUUAAAGUUUGAAGGCUAAAUAGCAUCUAUAAAUGAUAAUAAAUUUUAAAUUUGUGGUCUUUUAUAAUUAUUUUGCUUAAUUUUUGUUUAUUAAUUAUAUUUUUGUAAAUGAAUUUAUAUUCAAUUUGAUUCGUUAUGGAUUCAUUAUAAGAUAAACAAAUAGUAAAUGAUUCUAGAUUUGAUUUGCUUCGUUUAUUAAUUCUACUAAAUGAAUUAAACGAAUCGAACUAAAUAUCGUUUAAUUCGAUUCAUUUAAUAAAUAAAUCAAAUCUAAAUAUUGAGAUUUUAAUUCGUUUAAUAAAUGAAUCAAUUUCAAUCAACAGAAUUUUAUUCCAAUUCAUUUAUGAUUCUAUUCGAAUUCGAUUCAUUUAUUGGUUUUGUCACCUACUUUUAAGGGAAAACUUACACAAAGAUGAUUAGGUGCACAUAAUUCAAAUAAAAAAAAUUAUAAAUUAAAAUGAACUGAUGUCAAAUAAGAGAAUAAGAAAUAAAAGAAAGUUGACCUAAGAAAAAAAAACACAUGUUUUUUAGUUUUCCAACCAGUUUUAAUUGGCCGGCUAGGGCUAGUCGAAAUUUUUAAGAAAUCAACUUAGAUUUUGUUUACUCUUUACCUAUAAAAAAAGAAAUGCAGCCAUGUCUGUUUAGUGUAUGGAGAUAGGGAUGGCAAAAAUCCCCACAGGGACGGGUACCCUCGGGGGUUUUUUCCAUUCAGGGAGGGUAUAGAGAUAAUUUCAUACCCAAUUUCUUAUUCGGGGAAGGGACGAGGAAAUUUUUUUACCUAAUUUCUUAUUCGGGGAGGGGAUGGGGAUGAGGUGGAAUCCCCAUCCCCUACCCAUUUCCCCAUUUUAAUUUUUAAUUUUAUUUUUAUUUUUAUUUUUUAAAAAUUAAUAGUAAAUAAAUAAUAAAAUUUGAAUUAUAAAAUUAUAAAUAUUGGUAAAAAUAAAAAAUAUCAAAAUAUUUAUAUUAUUAAUUUUUAGGCUUAAUUAACUAAUUAAAGUCCUAAAUUUUUAUUUAGGACAUUAAAAAGACCGGGUAGAUUUUAUUAGCCCAAAAAUUUUGUUUUAAUUUUAAUAUUCAUUAAAUAUUUUAAACUUAAAUCUAUUUUUUAUUUAUUUUUAGAUGUUAUAAUUACCCACAACGAAUCACAAUUUUAAUAUUUAAUCUAAUCUAAUAUUUGCUCUUGAUUUGCUCUGACUUAACUAUUGUGUUAUAAAGGGAAUAGUCCACAUUUAUAAAGUACCCACGCCACCAUUGAAAAAGUUAAUUUUGAAUCUAAAUUCAAUUUUAUUUGUAACAAUUUUGUAUUAGACUAUUAAUUUGUCCAUGAUAGUUUACAAAAGAAGUUUGUAUCCCUUGCAUGCUAAGUUACUUACUAAUUUAAUGCAUGUGACUUUUGUAAUGGAUAUUAAUGUAAGAUAUAUUUCUAAUUUUACUUUUAUUUGAAUAUGAUUAACUCAAAAUCAAAAACAAAAAAAUGUAUUAGUUAUUCGGGGAUCGAGGACUCUCAGAGAUCCCAUGUUAUUAUUCGGGGAGGGGAUGAAAAUUCUUUCAAGUAAUUAUGACGGGGAUGGAGAGGGGACGAGGACAUACACAAAAUAUCGAGAAUGGAUACGGAAAGAUUGGUCCCCUCCCCUCCCCACCCCAUUGCCAUCCCUACAUGGAGGUUACGAUAGCCACGUAUAGUUGGUUUUUAGUGUAGGCUCUCCUGUGAAACGUUUCCCAAGGUGGCUUCUAAUAAGCUAGAAUGAAGUUUAUAAAUAGUUGUUCUUGGUUAUUCGAUUCUAAAGAACAAUAUAUAUAAGUUUCAAUCUUUGUAUUUCUUAAUGAGUCAAAAUCCUAUUUAUACAAAAUACUCAUUAACAUAAAAGAAAAAUAAUCAACACGAAUAAAUGAGGCUCAUCUCCCCAAAUAUACAUAAUAACGUGCGAGUCAUGCACAAUAGUUUUCAUUCUUGCCCACCAUGCAUCAUAUAAUUUUCUUCUUCUCCAUGUAAUUAGCACCUUAUUAGCGUAGUUAAUUUUCCACAUUUAGUUGAUUGCCAGUUGGUGCGUCAUUUUCAUAGGCAUUACUGUUGCAGUAAUUAUUAGAAAGAAAGGAAAAGAAAACUCCUUUGACGUGACAUAUGAAGUUUCGUCUUUCAAUUUCUUGCAUAUUUAAUAAUUUAAAUGACGUGGGAUCACUUUGGUACUCUGCUGUAUAUACGACAACAUGUCCAUUAAUCAUGCAGAAGCAUAGCUGGCCUUGAUGUAAGUGUUUUUUAGUUGAGAUAAUAAAAUUUGUGUGUUAAAAACAAGAGGUUCUGGAAUCGAACUGUUGAUAUGGAUAGAGAGAAUUUAGUUACCAUUAUGUACCACGCAGGUCAAAAUCAAAUUAAGCAAAAGUAGGUGCAAUUUUAAAAUAUGAGGAAUUUACUCCUAGGAUCUCUCUGUUUGCCCUGUAUCUUUGGGCUUUGCUUUUAAUUAUACUGAUGACUUCGAAAGGUCUAUUUUAAUCAUAAAUCUAUCUUAAUUUAGAUACAAUUUCUAAAACAAGUAUUGAACACCACCUAGUUUAUAGCUAUAAGAAAACUUAACCAAAGAUUUUUUCCUUCCAAUUCAUUGGUGCAUAAUUUCUCUCAAGGUAACAACAAAGUGGUAUUGAAACUAUCUGACGAUUGUUUAUUUCAUAUGCCAAAACGUUAAGCUCAAAGCUUAACUUGGAGGAAAUCAUAGGCUUCUUCUUUAUGUGUUUUUAUCAAGUCUAUCUUCAAAGACAUUUAAAAGUUUGAAACAAGCCUCCAUUUUUUACAUAGAUAUUAGGAAAAAGGAUAGCUACAACCUGUUGGAGAAAAAUUUCACACAGCUAAUCAAGUUUUCAAUAAUAAAAAAAUUCAUACCUCCUUUAUAUCAUAAUACUUUUUGACUCUACUAAUUUAAAAAAAUUGACUUUAAUCAUUUAUAAAAAUAGAAAUAUAAUAUUAAAUUAAAUGUAAUAAUAUGUACAUUUUAAAAUAAUUUUACCCUUUAAAAAAUAUUUUAAUAUUUUACAAUCUAUUAGACAUAUUUUAUUACAUUAAAGUUAAUUUUAAAUAAAUAGAGACUUAGUAUUAAAAUAAUUAGUCAGUUUAAAUUAUUUAUAUUAUAUUAUUUGUAUUUAUUAAAAACUUUAAAGUUAUUUUUUUAUUUAUUAUAUUCUGAAAACUUUCUAAAGAAAAUAAAUCUUACUCUGAUUAAUUUAUGAGCACAAAGGCUUAAUUUAUACAAGUAUUUAAAAUAUGAAAAAUGAAAUGAUAUAAUUAACAUUAUUUGGGAAUAAUGAUUGAUUAGUAAAGAUUGAGUCAAUUAAUCUUUAUGUUAAUUUACAAACAAUCUUUCUUAAUCAAUAAAGAAGAUGGACGGUAUCAAUUAUUUGAUUGACCAUUAAUUGUUUUGUUUGCAUCAAUAUUGUUUAACUUUCCCCCUGACUUUCCACCCUUAACAACGUUGACAAUUUAGUAGUAAGAACUGAAUUGAUUGUAUAACUUCAUCUCUGGAAAGGUUAAUUUCAGAUUACUAUUCGUCGAAUGAUAAUUUUUAAAUGAUUGUAAAUCUCAAUUUAUCCCCCACUUUUUUUAAAAAGACAAAAAAAUUUCAUCAACACACCACAAUUUUUCCUUUAUCUUUUGAAUAAAAAUGAGAAUUAGUUGAAGUUUACAAUUGUUUGGAUGAUAUUAUGAAAAUUGUCAUUUUACGAAGAGGGUAACGUGAAAUUUACCCUUUCUAGAAUUAUUCUGAGUGAAAAGUUAUGUUAGUGUUUGUUCAGUUAAAUGGCGGUUGAUAAACAAAACGCUAGCUACCAGGCACCAGCAAUUUAAUAGUAUUAUAGCUGCCAUUUCAAAAUGACUAUAGUCCUAAAACCACAACACCACACAGUAUGAAACCGUGCCUUAGUAAUUAUAUGCUGAAUGUCUCAACAUUUAUGUUCAGAAAAAAGAAAGGAAAACAGAAUGAGCAGAAAAUAUACACACAACAUUCUAGCAUAAUUCUCUAAUCUGGUUAUUCCAAUAAUCGAUCAGAAUCCACACUGAAUGGAUGGAGGUCAACUCCAUCUGUAGAAGAACCUGAAGGCGGCCCAUAAAUUGACGACGUGCUUUGUGUAGUAAUUGCAGUGUUUUCUAUGCAGAAUUGGUAAUAUUUCCUCAUUGCUUCUGCCUUGGUUUCAUCGAUGUCUGAGACACUUGAAUCAGAGACUAAAUCUAGAACAUCAACACCGCAUUCGAGCAUGCGUAAAACCGAAGACAUCGAAGGCCUAAUCGUAGGAGAAGCGUUGGCACACAGCAGAGCUACAUUGAUCAUCACCAUCACUUGUUCUUUGUCAAAAUUUGAACCCAGAUUUGUAUCAACUAGCUCCAUUAAUUUUCCUUGCUCUUUUAAUACAAGCGCCUGAUUGAAAAGAAGUUGAAAAAACAUAUAUUUGUUCGGAGAUAAAUUCAAGAUAAAAAAUGCAAAUCAAUAAACUGUAGGAGCCUAAUAUUACCCAAUCUAGAAGAUAAAACAUAUCCUCUUUUGUAACGUUGCUUCUACCGCUGACAAUUUCUAAGGCAACAAUUCCGAAACUAUAGACAUCUGCUUUCUCUGUUAAAUGGCCCCG